GAGAGAGAAAGAGGUUAGAGAGAGAAGUGAAAAAGGUGUGAAAAAUGAUGAAGUCUUUGUCUCCUUUUAUAGCCCUGCGAGGCCUCGGUACGCUGGGCGUACCUCUGACCUACGCGGGGCGUAGCCAUCGGAUAAGAGUGCCAGCUUCGCACCAGCUGGCUCGCAACGUCGGAAGAGAUAAGGCGAGGGUACGUGGGGUGUACUGGCCUCGGAUGCGGGGCGUAAGCGAAGGUGACGUGUUCUUCAUCCGAAGCGAGUCGUGAUCAGCAAGCGACGGCCUAGAUGCAGCCACGUCAUCCAUCUCGCAUCAGAUUUCGCAAUUUCCACUCCCGACUUCUAAAAAUCAUAAAUUUCGCAUACCAGCUCCGUUUUCGACGUUCUUUAUAUCCACACGAAGGUGGGAACAUACUCUACAACUUUCGUUUAGACUUUGUUGGCUAAUUUUGGCUCGAUUUUAAAUUUUAUAUUAUUAACGGGCCGGGACACGAUUGGUCCGUUAAAUCUUCAUAACUUCUUCAUCCGACAUCCGUUUUCGCCGAUCUUUUUCUCGUUACGCUACUCUCAACGAGAUCUUUGAUUCUCGUUUAGGUCGUGUCGGCUAAAAACCCCUCAAUCUAAUAUUCGAAUUUCGGGUUGUGCCUUGCUAGUCCGAAACUUCAAAAAAUCAUAACUUCUUCAUACGAAGUCAGAUUUGGGCAUUCUUUUUAUCGAUGUUCUUAGUUUAACAUAUUCUACGACUUUCGUUUAGAUCGCUAAGGCUAAAUCUCGCUUUAUCGUAAAUUCACUAUUUACGCUUCCCGGUGUCGUGCCGGUUUUGUCGCAAAACUUCGACGGGCCAUAACUUCUUCGUUAUAACUCGGAUUUCGGCGUUCUUUAUAUGUACGGAAACCUUGUGACAUACUCUACAACUUGGUUAAGAUUAUUUAUUCUAAAUAAAAUUUUGUCGAAAAGUCGUUUUCGACCCCUAUUGCCUCUAAAUUGACUAGCCCGGAUCUAUGGGCGUUACACUUAUCGAAUGAAUACGUAGUUCUAAAAUACAUAAUCCGUACUCUCGGAUCUUAAAUUUUCCUCAUUACCUAAUCCAUAUUCCCAGAUCUAAAACUAACCUCUUGAUUUCAUCCAUACUCUUAGAUCUAAAACUAACCUCCUCCUCUGAUCCAUAUUCUCGGAUCUAGAACAAGUUUAUCUCUUUAUCUGUUUAUCUCAUGGUAUCGAAUGAAUACGUAGUUCUAAAAUACAUAAUCCGUACUCUCGGAUCUUAAAUUUUCCUCAUUACCUAAUCCAUAUUCCCAGAUCUAAAACUAACCUCUUGAUUUCAUCCAUACUCUUAGAUCUAAAACUAACCUCCUCCUCUGAUCCAUAUUCUCGGAUCUAGAACAAGUUUAUCUCUUUAUCUGUUUAUCUCAUGGUCCAACCCACCUUUAUUCACCUACCAACAACCUCAUCUACUCUUGUUCUACCCAACAUAUUUUUAGAUACAAACUACAUAUAUAGUUUAACUCAUUAAAACUUAUAUAAUUCGUCCAUUCCACAAUCAUCUCAAAUAAACAACAAUAUAUUAUACACAUAGCACGUAUUUCAUAGCAAAUACCUAAUAUUUAUGUGUUAGAAGAAAGUGACCACACACUCACUUGAUUAGAAGAUGUUCGGACAGCANGUAGAAGUAGUAUUCGUCUGUAGAUCUGGAAGAUCUUCACAAAAAUUGGCUUCUCGGGAGCAGAGCUUCGGCUCGGGAAUUUCACUUAUCAGGAUCUUUGGGGCUUCAGGACUUGCUUCGGGUCUCGGGAAUGAUAUCGAGGCUUCGGGAUAUUUCUUGCACGAAAAACGAUGCAAAAAAGCGAGAGAAAGGGAAGAAAUGAGCAAAGAACUCGGCUGCACUCGACUUCCUUUUAUAGGGGGCUGGAACAACGAAUUACGCUGGGUGUAAUGUGGGUCAGCUCGUUGAGUCCCCCCCAUGGAUAAUAUCGGUUAUUUUAUAUUUAAAUUAAAUACUGAAAAUAUUUAAUAAACUUCAAAAUUUCAUAUCUUCCUCAUACGAACUCCGUUUUCGACGUUCUUUAUAUACCCGCGUAGGUGAGACUACGCUCUACAACUUUUGUUUAGACUCCGUCGGCUAAUUUUGAAUUUAUUUUUAUUAUAUUAUUUUAGUAGGCCGGGAUAGGAAUACUCCGUUAUAAAUUCAUAACUACUUCAUCCGACGUCCGUUUACGUCUAUCUUUUUAUCGUUUCACUACAAUUGACGAGAUCUUCGAUUCUCGUUUAGAUUUUUUUGGCUAAAAACCGCUUGAUGAAUGGCACAACUCCAAGGUCUCCAAUGAAGUUCUUCAGCCAUAUAGCCUCUUUCGAUGCUUCUCUUGCCACAAUGUACUCUGAUUCACACAUUGAAUCAGCCACGGUCUCAUGCUUGGAACUUUUCCAAGUUACUGCUCCUCCGUUCAGGGUAAAAUCCCAGCCCGACUACGAUCGAUAAUUAUCCUUAUCUAUCUGAAAGCUAGCGUCACUGUACCCUCGUACCCUUAAGUCAUCACUCCCACCGAGGACUAGAAACCAUUCCUUGGUCCUUCAUAUGUACUUAAGAAUAUUAUUGAAAUCAAUCCAAUGCGAACUACCAGGGUUCCCUUGAUAUCUGCUGACCAUGGUCAAAGGGAAGUCCACAUCAGGGCAAGUACAAGUCAUAGCAUACAUGAUAGAGCCAACUGCGCAGCGUUAGGUACUUGGCUCAUAUCAGCAAUUUCUGCCUCUGUACUCGGGCAUUGAGUCUUACUCAACUUGGUAUUGCUUUGAAUUGGCAACUCCCCUUUCUUUGAAUUUUCCAUACUAAAACACUUUACUACCUUAUCCAAGUAUGUAUCCUGACUGGGUCCUAUUAGUCUUUUACUUCUAUUUCUUACUAUCCUUAUUCCCAGAAUAUACGUAGCCUCUCCGAGGUCCUUCAUAGCGAAACACUUCAAAAGCCAGGACUUGACCUCCUGCAAGGUUGGGACAUCAUUUCCUAUGAGCAGUAUGUCAUCGACAUAAAAUAUGAGGAAGCUCACUAUACUCCUACUGGGCUUGACAUACACACAUGACUCAUCUUCGCUUCGCAGAAAGCCAAACUCUUUGACCUUCUCGUCAAAACAAAGAUUCCAUCUGCGAGACGCUUUGUUUAAUCCAUAAAUGGAUUUCUCAAGCUUACACACUCUAUUUGGAUGCUUCGCAUUGAUAAAACCUUCUGGCUGGCUCAUGUAAACAUCCUCAGCCAAUUUUCCAUUAAGAAAAGCGGUUUUCACGUCUAUCUUCCAUAUUUCAUAAUCAUGAAACGCAACUAUUGCGAGCAUCACCCUAACAGACUUUAUCUUGGCAAGUAGCGAGAAGGUCUCAUCAUAGUCAACUCCAGGAGUUUAAGUAAAGCCCUUUGCAACCAAUCGCGCUUUAUAAGUGUGCACAUUCCCAUCCAUGUCUGUCUUCUUCUUAAAGAUCCAUUUGCACCUGACUGUCUUACGACCCGGCACAUUAUUAACCAAAUUCCAAACUUGGUUGUCGUACAUGGACUGAAUCUCGCUGUCCAUUGCCUCUUUCCACUUAGAAUACUCUGGGCCUGCCAUGGCUUCCUUAUAUCUGUUACGUUCGUCCAAAUUUACUAGUGUCCUAUCACUAAUAAAUUUAUCCCCUUCAGUAGUUAUAUGGAAUCCAUACAACUAGGGUGGAACACUAGCCCUAUUGGAACAUCUAAGAGGUAAGGACUCGUCAACAGGUUCAACAUCCUCAGGUUGAGUGCCAGUAUUAGAAGUUCCUUCAUCGUUUUCCUGUUGAAUCUCUUCAAGAUCAAUUUGCCUCCCACUGUCCUCUUGACUUAUGAGUUCCCUUUCUUGGAAAACCCGUCUCCUCGUUCAUGUGGUAGGUCAUUCUGAACUCAUUGUAGCAGGAAGGCCAGGAGUGGAGGAUGAUGUCGAUAGCCAAAUCCUCAUCAAACUUAACAUUAAGUUUGAGAAGACGAUUAACAUACCUCUACAUUUUCUGCAAAUGCGAGGUUAGGGAUUCUCCACUCCCCAUCUUAGCGGUGAUCAUGUUAGUAAUGAUCUCAUAGCUCUCUUGCCUUGCGCUUUGCUGGUAUAUGUCCAGAAAAUCUUGAUGCAUCACAUAUGGAUACAUGUCCGCAUAGGACUUUUGGAGUUCGAGGUUCAUGGUGGCCAGCAUGAUGCAAUGAACUUUCGUAGCAUAACGCUCGUGGGCCUCAAAGGCCGCCGACUCUUCAGGAGUAGCAACAUCUAGAUUGAUCUUUUUCAACUUUCUCAUCGAGGACAUAUUCUUUGUCCUUGUAAUGAGUGAUCAUAUGAAUGUAUCUCAUCCACUCGUUGAAAUACGACCCAUCAAAUGUGACUUUUUGGCAUAUGUUCAUUAGCAAGAAUGACCCAUAAGCGUUGUUGUUUGCGUUUGUGUUAGACAUCUGAAAUAGAAAGGAACAAAGUUUGAUUAGAAUGAAUCCACAAUUAAACACCCAAAUGAGAAAUUAGGGCUAGAAUCCAACAAUAUUAUUUAUAACUUAUAAAGGGGAUGCCGUAAUCUAAAAGUAAAUAAUUUGAAGGUAAGUGAAUGACGAUUUACUAAUUUUCACCAUGAAAAUGAAAAAGAAGAUUAAGUUUUAAAUGUAUUUGAAAACUCCUAGAUCUUUGAGAUUCAUUGAACUUUUCAAUGGCAUGUUUAAAUCUCGUUAUGCACUUUAAAUUUGCAACUGGGAUACGGAGGAUUGCAAACAAGUUAUGCAUAACCAUGCGAACCAACAUGGUGCACUCAAUGUCUCUAUCACCCAAUCAAUGUGCCGGUUAGCCACGCACGCUCCAUUGAUCUAUGAGAAACAUCAAGCCACCCUUCGCCACCAAUGUCAAUCCCAAAUUAGUGUGUCGGUUAACCACGCAUGCUCCACUAACGUUUGACAAGGGUGCAAAGUGUAAUUCCAUGGAAUAGCAUCAUUUUCACAUUUUACCCUAAAGUAACUAAGAUUGGGAAUUUGUAAAACAUUAUAGUUACUUUGUAAUUUAUUUAUACUUGUAAUGAAGAAUUAAGUGCCCUAUCCUAUCCAUUCGGCUACCGACCCUCCACCAAUCAAGUAAGCGGUGGGUGUGAGUGUACACCCAUUAAGCGCCAUUUUAUAGGCAACAACCUUAUACCCACCUUAUAGACUGGCUUCGUGAAUGAGGCCUACUAGCGAUAAGACUAGCUUAUUCAUAUAGAUAUAUAAUAAUUAAUCUUGUAAUAAUAUAAUAGUAUAGGGUUGAAUUUAAAAGUUGUAAAAUUCUAAGGGUUUGAAAUUUAAAUCAAUCAAAAUUAAACUUUUAAUCAUAAAAAUAAAUUUCAAAACUUGAGGACAAGUUUUGAACUUUUCAAAACACAAGGGAUCAAAUAACAAAUAAUAUAAAUUAAACAAUUAAUUUUAUAAUUAUCUAUAUUUGACCUAAUACAAUUUUAGUCACAAGAUAAUUACCAAAUAAUUUAAAUAAUCCAUAUUUAUCAUAUAAAGAAACUAUUAUUCAAAAUAUUAGAAAUUCCCUUUUGUUUUGGUAAGGAUAAUCAUUUGCAUACAAUAAAAUUUGGAUUUUAUUAUCAAAAAAUGUUUUGGCAUUUAUCCUAUAGCAAAACAACAAGAAAAUCCUGAGAUAUGCUCCGUCUGACUCCCGAACUCGUCGAGUCAGUCCUGGACUCACCAAGUUGGGCCAACUCGCCGAGUCCAGAUACUGACUCACCGAGUUGAGUCGGGCAGAGGCCAGAAAAAUGUUUUUCAACAAAAACACAACAAUCACAUCACAUACAACAGAAACCAAUCAAGUCUCUGAUACCACUGAUGGGUUUUAUGCAUAAGAACAAUCUUAUGUGCUCAUACAAACCGUAAUGCUUGGAUCUAGGUUUCUCUAUUGUACAUGCAAUGAAUCCAAGACUUAAAAACCCUAAACUAGCAUACAUAUUUCAUAAUUUAACAUAUAGAAUCAGAUCUAGAUGUUUAGCUCUUUAAUGGAAGCUUGAAUCUUCUUUCUUAGAGCUUAGAGUAACAAUUGUAACUCCCCUAAUGGCUUACAAUCACCACAAGCAAGAAGGCAACUAUGAGAGAGGAGGGACAAUGCUUAAUUUCGGCCUAGGGUUUCUCUUGGGAAGCAAGUGGCCAAAAAUUGAAGGCUAGGGGUCUUAUUUAUACUGUAGGCUGCUAGGGUUUCAGUUUAAACCCUAAUGGAACGCUUAGUUACCAAGCAACCCAAGGAACCUUCUGGAAUAGGGCCUUGGACGAAAAUAUGAUGAUCCCAUAUCAUAAUUCCGUUCCCCCUUAGUCCAUUAGGUUUCACAGCCCAAAAGUCAACUAUCAUACAUUUGACAGUUUAUACCCCUUUAUUUAAUUAAUCUCUUUUAGUCACCAAAUUAAUUCCUAAUUAAUUUAUGACUAAUACUAACUAAAUAAAUAUGAUUUCUCCAUUAAUAUAUUAUUAUUAUAAUACAUUAAUAAAUCAUAUUAUCCUAUCUCUCAUCAAAUUACCUUGUCAAGUUGCUUUGGUGAAGGAAACCCAAAAGGACCAUGCACAACCGGGUCAAGUACAUACCAAAUAUAGUUACAGGCUUAGACACUAAUCCAACAGGAACCAUAGUGUGCAUGCUAAGAGCAUGGCACAAUUCUUGUUAUAAUUCAAGUAAGAAGUUGAUUACCCAAAACAAGAAAUAAUGAGUAAUUAAUAUGGUGAUUAAAUAAAAUGUUUUUUUACUUAUACUCAAAAGUUUGGGGCCACAUUGGAUUAGUAUUAUUCUUGUGUUUCACUUUGCAUGUUUUGACUUCUCGAAUAAUAAGAUUAUUCAAACACUCCACAGUCGCUCAUUCUUUGGAAGUAGGAGUGAAUGAAGAUUGUUAGGAAUCCGUCUGUAGAUUGACUAAAGCAUUUAGUCAUAGUACAAGUUUGCUACAGAGUUCAUGAGUGCUGCUAUAAGAUUAGAGUAUUGGAUUAAACUCACACUCACUUGAUCGCUUCAUGGAUUUUAUCACGAGUGAUUGGUGAGACGAUAAUAUCUUAUGUUCUUGAAACCGAGAUGUGUGAGUUGUAUCUUAUGAGUCGGUUACACAUUAAUAAUAUGUAAACACACUAGUAACUUGCUGUUAUAAAACGGAUUGUUGUAUGUGAUUCGGUAAGCGAGUACAAGUGAUCAUUGAGUCGAAGUUUAUCUGUUCUUUUUACCUAAAGUGGGAUAAAAAUGAUAUUUGUGGUCCCCCUCGAUGAUUUAGUGAUGACACCCUAAGCGCUUGGCCAAGCCGGGACUAUGUUGAUGUGUUCAAUUGUAGUUAAUGGUCAGUCGUCAUAAAUUGGAAAUCGGUAAAUAACACAUGAACGAAGAGUGUGAUUAAAUUCCUUAUCUCAGUUCAUACGAUAUCUAGAAGGGAGGAAUACAUGAUCCCUUAUCUAAAGUACAAGUUACUAAUAAGAUCAGAGUUCAACAACGUCUUUGAGAGCUACGAUUGCUAAUAGGAUUGUACUUACAUUAUCGUUACUAUAUUUAUCCAAGUAGAGACUGUUGGAAUAGUGUCUAAGCCCGUAACUAUAUUUGGUAUAUAUUUGACCCGGUUGUGCAUGGUCCUUUUGGGUUGCCUUCACCAAAGCAACUUGAUAGGUUGAUUUAUAGAGAAAGAGGAUUAAUUAUGAUUUGUUAACAUAUUAUAUGAAUAAUAUAUUAAAGGUGAAAUCAUAUUGUUUAAUUAGUAUUAGUCAAUAAUUAAUUGAUAGUUAAUUUUGUGACUAAAAGACAUUGAUUAAACUUAGGGGGCUGGAAUUGUAAUUAUAAGAUAAUUGUAAUUGGGCUAUGGAUCACCUUGGAACAUAGGUUGGACGAAUUAUAUGGGAAGCCCAUAAGGAAUUCAUCGAAGGGGUGUUCUAAAGGGAGUCCAUGGGCUGCUUAGGGCCUAAGGAGUCAAGUUAGGGUUUCCUAGUUGAAAACCCUAAUAGCCUCACUAUAUAAAGACCCCUAUGGCCCCAAAAAUGUUGUGGACUUUCUUGGAAGAACCCUAGGUCGUUUUUGGUGCUCCUCCUCCUUCUCAUAAGUUAUUCUCUUGCUUGUGGUGUUUGUAAGCCUUAGAGGAGUGACACUUCUGACUCUAAGCUCCAAAGAAAGAAUAUUGAAGAGAUUCAAGCCAUUCUAUAAGAGGUAACAUCUAGAUCUACUCUUAUGUGAUAAUUUCGAAAUGCACAUGCUAGAUUUGGGUUCUUGAGCCUUGGAUGAAUCGCAUGUACAAUAGAGAAACCUAGAUCCAAGCUUUAGGGUUUGCAUGAACACAUAGGAUGUUGUUUUGUAUAAAACCCAUCAGCCAGUUCCUUAGCCGUCUAGUCACUGUUCGCAUUGUACACCCCGUGUAACGAAGUUUCCACCAAGCAUACGCACUGGGCAGUUGAAUUUCGUUGACUUUUGACUUAGCUUUGGGUGUUAAAUAUUAAUUACGGUUAAUUAUUUCGUUGACUAGAAGAAGUCUAAUUCUGGCAGUUCGGCUAUGACAUUUACUUGUCAUUAGUAUCAGGUGAGUCUUCUCAGUUAUCCUUACCUCUGUGGUACAAUAGUUGUAUUUGUGAUGACCAGUUGGGUCUUCUGUUAUUUUGUGUUAUGUUGUUACGUGUGACUGAGACUAAGGACAAUCCCUCGAGUUGCUGAUAACUCAUAGGGUGUGUUGUUGCCCACUGGUAUUCUUAUAGUCCCCCAAGGUUGCUGAUAACACAUAGUUGUUUAUUUAUGUGGUGUUGUGUGUGAUAUCUUGGAGAACUCACUAAGUUUUGUGGUUACAGUUGUUGAUUUAUGUGUUUGAGGUAGUUUUGAGAAGUGCGGGAAGGCGAAUGUUUGAGUGUAUUUUUUUUCAAAAACAUUUGAUACAUUUUUCUUGCUUGUUUAAGUGAGAAUAUCUUCAAUCAUUUGACAUUAUGAUUAUUCGAGGUUGACUAUACCUUAUUCAUUGUUUAGCCUUUCAACAUGACAGGCUGUCAUUAGCACAAACUUAUUAUAAUGUUUGGCUACAAAAUUAAAGUUUUCACAAAAAGUUGAAAUUAUGAUUGUGUUAAAUGAAAUCAUAAUAAUCUUGUAUAAUGAUAAUUAUAUUUAUUUAUAAAUUUAAUUUCAUGAAGAAACUGAUUGUAAUAAUGUAAAUAAGGUAAAAUUGUACAUAUAUUUAUCGUUUUGCACCCCCUCGAGUUAAACUCUCGAUGUCUAAGAAAGCUCAACGAGAAAGAUUCAAUUUUAUGAAAGGUCUGUCCGCAAGUUCACUUGGAUGAUUUUUCGAUUACUCACACCCGAUGUUUUGAUAUGUACACAUUGUGCUAUAUUCAUUGCGACAUUGCAUUUAAAGUAUAUUUGGAUUUCUUUUUUGUUUCAAUGCAGUAUGAGUUAUAGAACAUGUCAACGACAGUUAGAAUGAAUUUUGAUAAGCAUGCAAGAAACAUAACACAUGCACAAACCUCCACUGGACGAUUGAUUCUCGAGGAUCAAGUUUGUGGGUAAAUAUCCAUUGAUGGUCGAUCAUUAAUUUCCAGAAUGACAUAGUGUAGAUGAUUUAUCAAAAUAUAUUUCUAAAAUUGGUCUAGGUUUUAACACUAAUGUUCGAUUUAAUGAGCUUACCAAAAUUAACUAUAGGUGAUGUGAUAACUGUCUCAAGCAACUCUUACACGGGAUUGCUCCAAAGAAACCCUAGACUCCUUGUUUGAUAAACAUUUUGUAUACAAAGGAGUAUUAUGACCAUUUACAAAUAUUUAAGAUCUGUUAAAAAAACUACAAAUAAAAAGCGUCAUUUUUCUUAAUGGUUGGGCUGUAUGUGACGAUAUGUACAAUUUUAGGGGAGGUUGAUGCAAAUCACCAUCGCUNAAAAAGCAAUGCAUUUUUCUGCUAUCUCAUAAACAUGGUAAUUAUGGGUGAUUCAGAAAAAUAAAUAGGACUUCUUAGGGCAGGGGUAUUUUAGGUAACUAGAUUGUUUUAGUUUCUUAUGCACGGUAAAUGAAUUAGACAAGUAGAAAGACUAAAAGAAAACUAUGUUGUUAUUACUUAGCAAUUUCUUAUAUACUUUAACAACAAUGUACAUUGAAAUAUUUGGACAUUUAUCUAAUUAUAUUUAAUUGCACUUUUUUACCUUUAAUUUUAACAAUAAUGUUUUUGUAACACCUCAAAUCUUAGACCAAUUUUUUUUUUUCAUUUUAAAUUUACCGAAAACAAGUUUCACAAAUAAAGUUAUCAAACACAUAAUAAUCCAAAACAACCGUUUUCACAAAAUAUCAGAGUUUUUGAAACUGUCCCAAACCUCUAUCCAUCCUCCCAGCGAGUGUGCACAAUCAGACAUUCGCCUUCCCGCACUUCUCAAAACUACCUGAAACACAUAAAUCAACAACUGUAACCACGAAGCUUAGUGGGUUUUCCAAGAUAUCACACACAACACUACAUAAAUAAAUAGCUAUGGGUUAUCAGCAACCUUGGGGACUAUCAACAAUACCAGCGGGCAACAACACACCUUAUGAGUUUUCAGCAACUCUAGGGACUGUCCUCAGUCUCAGUCACACGUAACAACGUAACACAAAAUAACAGCAGACCCAACUGAUCAUCAUAAAUACAACUAUUCUACCAGACAGGUAAGGAUAACUGAGGAGACUCGCCUUAUACUAUCGACAAGUAAAUGUCAUAGCCGAACUGCCAGAAUUAGACUUCUCCUAUCGAACGAAAUAAUUAACCCUACUUAGUAUUUAACAUCCAAAUCUAAGUCAAAAGUCAACGAAAUUCGACUGCUCAAUGCGUAUGCUUGGCGUAUACUUCGUUACACGGGGCGUACAAUGCGAACAGUGACCAGACGGCGAAGGAACUGGCUGAUGGGUUUUAUACAAAACAACAUCCUAUGCGCUCAUGCAAACCCUAAAGCUUGGAUCUAGGUUUCUCUAUUUUACAUGCAAUUCAUCCAAGGCUACCAAAAAUUGGCAUCCAAGUGAUCUUAGAAGAGUCCAUUUUCUCAGCUCCUAACUAUGUGUAAAAAUCCAACAAAUAUUUUCUAAAUUUUUCAUAUUGCAUUCCUAAUUUUCCCAAUUGGGCCCAAGUAUAUCCAUUAGGCCUUAUCCUAUAGCUCAAUCCAAAUAUUAUAGUCCAUAUGCUUGUUUUUGGAUUGCCCAUCAGUAGCCCAAUCACCAAAGCCCAAUAGAAAGGCCAAACUCAAGGCCAAAGCAAAAUUAGGGUUUCUCACAUGAAAUGACGAUUGGGGUUAAGUAAUCUAACUUAACCCAUUAAACACUUAAUCCAUUAAAGUCCAUCACUCUAUUAGGCCAUUCAUACAAUGUAGUUGGACACAAAUCAAAAUUCCAGUAUAAUAGUCCAAACGCGUGUCCCGACAAUUCCCAAAGUAACAUUCCCAGAGUUAGGGUUUUAUAAACCCUAAUUAGGGUUUCCAAUCCAAUCACAAUCCUACUGAGUCCAAGAUUAAGCAACUAGGCCAAUUAGGGUUCCACAAGGCCAGACACCACCCACUGCCACCUCGGCGGUGGUGGUCGGCAACAGCCAUAAUUUGCAAUGGUGGUGGUGGUGGUAGUUCCUGCCCAAAAAUUCCUUAUACCACUUCACACAUAAUAUACACACACACACGUAGCCACUAGAGUUGGUGGUUAGUGGUGGAAAAACGGUGGCAGCCACCACCUCAUGGUGGUGGUGACGGACCUUCAUUGAUUUUCCGGCCAAAAAUGGCUCAUACAGCAACAAUAACACUGAAAACAACAUAUAUUCUAGACAUACAUCCACCCAGCCACCUUCCAUGCGGCUGAUUUUUCCGGAAAGUUACGAAACCAGUUGCCAAAGGCCACCGACGGCAGCGGUGAAGCAUCUGAUGUCGAACACGCACAAAGGGACGGAGGAAAGGAGGGAGACAAGUGGCAGAUGGUCUUACCUGAAGCCUCUCGGUAGGUCACGCCCUUGCUGCAGUGAACACGUCCUUUUGUCGACCAUCAGCGGUUUUCCGGGUUGUUUACGAUGUCUCCGGCAGCGACGUUGUGGCAUUUAGAUGGCGAUGGAUCGGCGGCAACGACGUUGUGGCGUGUAGGUGGAGUUUCGUUUUAUCUGGACGCAUCUAAGUAGUUUACUGAACCGUACCUUUUUUUAGAUUAACGAAUACAAGAAAAUGUUAGUUUGGUUAUUACAAUCUUUUAGUUUGAUGCAUAACUCUUGAUGUUGUUCCCAUUCAUAUUUUCAUUGAGAUAAAAAGUGUGCAAGUAUAAAACUAAUUUUGCUUCAUACUUUUUCUUAUAAUGAUGAGUUUAAAGGUGAUUAUGAAAUAAAAAAUGAUUGUGAUAUCAUCGAUCCAUUGAAGGUUUAUUAUCACCUUUAAAGUUAUUUAUUAUUAAUUUUUUUACAUAAAAAGUUUUUUUAAUCUACUUUAGGUAUGGUUAUAGAAGACUAAGUUUAUUUUACUUGGAACAAUCUAAGUACUUAGAAAGGUCUAUGCUUGGUUUUAUGAUGCUUGUAUUAGACGUGGAAAGAAGGUUAUAGAGGUGUAUAGUAUUGAUUAUACAUCUGAUUCCCAAAAAGGCAUAUCAUAUAUACAACGGAUUUCCGACGGCUAUGGCAAAUUUUAGCAACGAAUUUUUAGGUCGGUUAUUAGUACCGAUCAAUGACGAAUAUACUUUUUUGUAAAAAUUACCAAAAGAAUAACUCACUAACGAACUAUCGAUGAAAUUUAAUAAAAACUCACUAAUAGAUCACAUAUAGAUUUUAUGUGAUAGGCUAGCGGCGACUUUUGUAUAUAAAAAAAAAUAUAAAUUCAUGAAAAAAUUAACAAUAAUUACAUAUUUAACAAAGGAAAAAUCUUGAAACAUACAUCAAAUCUGUAUUUUAAAACCAUCAAAUAUAAAUCCACCAGUUGGGUAUUCAUUAUUCAUUCAUUCUUUGUUUACUUUACUUCUCCAUGCAAAGACAAAAUCCAAAACAAUCUUGAAAAUUAAUUCCACCUUGAGGACCCACCACCUCCAUUUCUAACAAAGAUGUUCCUUAGAAUGUCAGCAUUCAUUAGAAACAUGUUUCCCAAGGAAAACAAUCCACUUCUUAUCGGAAUAUGUGAUUCGGAUUCCGAUCCCUCCGAAAUGAGAAGACACCUUCAGAUCAACAAUCUCAUACUAAAUCGAGUGAAAACGAUGGAAAUUUUAGCAAAUUUAGAUUCAAAUUAACACACCUUCAGAUACAUCUUCUUGUGUUCCCUCAAACACCGUAUAUGAUAUUCCCUUUCACACUGCAAGGAGGAUAAAUCUAACAAUCAGAAAUCAAAACGCAGCAUAAUUGGAUUUUUUUGAAUGACCAUUUAUCCUUGUACCAAAACUAAAACAAGCACUAUACUACAGGGACCAAAUUUAUUGAUAUAUAUUUAAGGAAUGAGCAUGUCAAGAUCUAGUGAUCAGAUAUGCAACUUCUGUCAACAUUGCCAUCAUCUCCAAACAUCAUUCAGUAAGAAUGGAACAAGAUGUCAGAUUUAGACCUUACUUAAGCGUUACUUGAUAUAGCAUAAAUUGGAAAGUUGAGAAUUAAAAAUUUAUUGGCAUCAAAACAAUUACAUAAGAAAACGUUUUAUAAACUUACCUUUGAAAGGAGAACAGCAAUACAUGUGAAGCCUUUUUGUUACAAUCAAUGAAAACCUGCAGAAAUAAAAUAAAUGGUAAUCUACUGAUUAAUCUGUAGCAGCCGUGUAAAAGAAUAAUAAAAACACUACUUUAUAGUUUAUAGUUUAUACUCACAUGAAACAUUCACAUGAAAGAUAUCAAAAGCUUAUGAACAUUUUGUUAUCAUCAGAAACAUCUUUGCCAAGGAACACAAUCCACUUGACAUCAGAAAGGGUAAGGUACAGUGGCCUGGAGAAACCCACAAAACCAACCCUUGAAAUGCUAUGAACACCUAACUGGUACCGAUCUGAUUCAACUAGACUGACAACAGAUCAAGAAAGUGUGAGUCACAGGAGAACAGCAUAUAUAAACUUCGAAACUACAAAAAAAAAGGACAAAACAGCUUCAAAACACAUGAUUCAGAAUGAUAACUUACAUGGUUUUUCUUACAAAAUAUUGCGGAUCUUUGCUAGUUUUUUGAUCUGUGUGCAUGAUAGAGAAUUUUUUUUUUGAAAUCAACAAAUAAAAGUCUUGGUGAUUUGCAUGACCCAAAAGACACAGAUCGAUAACUUUAUCAAACCAAUGCAUGAUUUUCAGAUAUGCAUUAUCCUCCUAAGCUCUUAAUUAUUUGUGAAUAGUUUGAUGUUUGGAUCCUGGAUCUAGAUUCAGUUGAUUAUGACAGCGGCUGUGGAUCCUCAACAUCUAAUAUAUAUAGUAAGAAAAGUGUGGGCGUCAACCCUAAUCCUGAUCUCUAGCGAUGGUGAUUUGCAUCAACCUCCCCUAAAAUUGUACAUAUCGUCACAUACAGCCCAACCAUUAAGAAAAAUGACGCUUUUUAUUUGUAGUUUUUUUAACAGAUCUUAAAUAUUUGUAAAUGGUCAUAAUACUCCUUUGUAUACAUAACUAUUUUUUUAACGGUUCUUAUUUGUAAAUGGCCACACUAUCUUUAUUUGUAUUUUUUUUCAAAAACAUUUGAUACAUUUUUCUUGCUUGUUUAAGUGAGAAUAUCUUCAAUCAUUUGACAUUAUGAUUAUUCGAGGUUGACUAUACCUUAUUCAUUGUUUAGCCUUUCAACAUGACAGGCUGUCAUUAGCACAAACUUAUUAUAAUGUUUGGCUACAAAAUUAAAGUUUUCACAAAAAGUUGAAAUUAUGAUUGUGUUAAAUGAAAUCAUAAUAAUCUUGUAUAAUGAUAAUUAUAUUUAUUUAUAAAUUUAAUUUCAUGAAGAAACUGAUUGUAAUAAUGUAAAUAAGGUAAAAUUGUACAUAUAUUUAUCGUUUUGCACCCCCUCGAGUUAAACUCUCGAUGUCUAAGAAAGCUCAACGAGAAAGAUUCAAUUUUAUGAAAGGUCUGUCCGCAAGUUCACUUGGAUGAUUUUUCGAUUACUCACACCCGAUGUUUUGAUAUGUACACAUUGUGCUAUAUUCAUUGCGACAUUGCAUUUAAAGUAUAUUUGGAUUUCUUUUUUGUUUCAAUGCAGUAUGAGUUAUAGAACAUGUCAACGACAGUUAGAAUGAAUUUUGAUAAGCAUGCAAGAAACAUAACACAUGCACAAACCUCCACUGGACGAUUGAUUCUCGAGGAUCAAGUUUGUGGGUAAAUAUCCAUUGAUGGUCGAUCAUUAAUUUCCAGAAUGACAUAGUGUAGAAUAUUUAUCAAAAUAUAUUUCUAAAAUUGGUCUAGGUUUUAACACUAAUGUUCGAUUUAAUGAGCUUACCAAAAUUAACUAUAGGUGAUGUGAUAACUGUCUCAAGCAACUCUUACACGGGAUUGCUCCAAAGAAACCCUAGACUCCUUGUUUGAUACUAUAUACUCCACCGCUAACGUUCAAUAUUCCUCAAUAAACAACAAAAGGGAAACAAAACAAGUGGUAUUUAGGGGUAAAAUGACCAUUUUUACCAUCUUACUUUACUACAAUGCUAUAUUGCUAUUUUACACAAUUACUUAUACUCACAUUAUGUGCAAAAAAAAAAGCAAUGCAUUUUUCUGCUAUCUCAUAAACAUGGUAAUUAUGGGUGAUUCAGAAAAAUAAAUAGGACUUCUUAGGGCAGGGGUAUUUUAGGUAACUAGAUUGUUUUAGUUUCUUAUGCACGGUAAAUGAAUUAGACAAGUAGAAAGACUAAAAGAAAACUAUGUUGUUAUUACUUAGCAAUUUCUUAUAUACUUUAACAACAAUGUACAUUGAAAUAUUUGGACAUUUAUCUAAUUAAAUUUAAUUGCACUUUUAUACCUUUAAUUUUAACAAUAAUGUUUUUGUAACACCUCAAAUCUUAGACCAAUUUUUUUUUUCAUUUUAAAUUUACCGAAAACAAGUUUCACAAAUAAAGUUAUCAAACACAUAGUUAUCCAAAACAACCGUUUUCACAAAAUAUCAGAGUUUUUGAAACUGUCCCAAACCUCUAUCCAUCCUCCCAGCGAGUGUGCACAAUCAGAAAUUCGCCUUCCCGCACUUCUCAAAACUACCUGAAACACAUAAAUCAACAACUGUAACCACGAAGCUUAGUGAGUUUUCCAAGAUAUCACACACAACACCACAUAAAUAAAUAGCUAUGGGUUAUCAGCAACCUUGGGGACUAUCAACAAUACCAGUGGGCAACAACACACCUUAUGAGUUAUCAGCAACUCUAGGGACUGUCCUCAGUCUCAGUCACACGUAACAACGUAACACAAAAUAACAGCAGACCCAACUGAUCAUCAUAAAUACAACUAUUCUACCAGACAGGUAAGGAUAACUGAGGAGACUUGCCUUAUACUAUCGACAAGUAAAUGUCAUAGCCGAACUGCCAGAAUUAGACUUCUCCUAGCGAACGAAAUAAUUAACCCUACUUAGUAUUUAACAUCCAAAUCUAAGUCAAAAGUCAACGAAAUUCGACUGCUUAAUGCGUAUGCUUGGCGUACACUUCGUUAUACGGGGCGUACAAUGCGAACAGUGACCAGACGGCGAAGGAACUGGCUGAUGGGUUUUAUACAAAACAACAUCCUAUGCGCUCAUGCAAACCCUAAAGCUUGGAUCUAGGUUUCUCUAUUUUACAUGUAAUUCAUCCGUGGCUACCAAAAAUUGGCAUCCAAGUGAUCUUAGAAGAGUCCAUUUUCUCAGCUCAUAACUAUGUGUAAGAAUCCGACAAAUAUUUUCUAAAUUUUUCAUAAUGCAUUCCUAAUUUUCCCAGUUGGGCCCAAGUAUAUCCAUUAGGCCUUAUCCUAAAGCUCAAACCAAAUAUUAUAGUCCAUAUGCUUGUUUUUGGAUGGCCCAUCAGUAGCCCAAUCACCAAAGCCCAAUAGAAAGGCCAAACUCAAGGCCAAAGCAAAAUUAGGGUUUCUCACAUGAAAUGAUGAUUAUGGUUAAGUAAUCUAACUUAACCCAUUAAACACUUAAUCCAUUAAAGUCCAUCACUCUAUUAGGCCAUUCAUACAAGGUAGUUGGACAUAAAUCAAAAUUCCAAUAUAAUAGUCCAAACGCGUCUCCCGACAAUUCCCAAAGUAACAUUCCCAGAGUUAGGGUUUUAUAAACCCUAAUUAGGGUUUCCAAUCCAAUCACAAUCCUACUGAGUCCAAGAUUAAGCAACUAGGCCAAUUAGGGUUCCACAAGGCCAGACACCACCCACUGCCACCUCGGCGGUGGUGGUUGGCAGCAGACACCAUUUGCAAUGGUGGUGGUGGGGGGGGGUUCCGNUUGCAAUGGUGGUGGUGGUGGUGGUUCCUGCCCAAAAAUUGCAUAUACCACUUCACACAUAAUACACACACACACACACGUAGCCACUAGAGAUGGUGGUUAGUGGUGGAAAAACGGUGGCAGCCACCACCUCAUGGUGGUGGUGACGGACCUUCAUUGAUUUUCCGGCCAAAAAUGGCUCAUACAGCAACAAUAACACCAACAACAACAUAUAUUCUAGACAUACAUCCAUCCAGCCACCUUCCAUGCGGCUGAUGUUGCCGGAAAGUUACGAAAAUAGUUGCCAAAGGCCACCGACGGCAGCGGUGAAGCAUCUGAUGUCGAACACGCACAAAGGGACGAAGGAGAGGAGGGAGACAAGUGGCAGAUGGUCUUACCUGAAGCCUCUCGGUAGUUCGCACCCUUGCUGCAGCGAACACGUCCUUUUGUCGACCAUCAGCGGUUUUCCGGGUUGUUUACGACGUCUCCAGCAGCGACGUUGUGGCAUUAAGAUGGCGAUGGAUCGGCGGCAGCGGCGUUGUGGCGUGUAGGUGGAGUUUCAUUUUAUCUGGACGCAUCUAAGUAGUUUACUGAGCCGUACCUUUUUUUAAAUUAACGAAUACAAGAAACUGUUAGUUUGGUUAUUACAAUCUUUUAGUUUGAUGCAUAACUCUUGAUGUUGUUCCCAUUCAUAUUUUCAUUGAGAUAAAAAGUGUGCAAGUAUAAAACUAAUUUUGCUUCAUACUUUUUCUUAUAAUGAUGAGUUUAAAGGUGAUUAUGAAAUAAAAAAUGAUUGUGAUAUCAUCGAGCCAUUGAAGGUUUAUUAUCACCUUUAAAGUUAUUUAUUAUUAAUUUUUUUACAUAAAAAGUUUUUUUAAUCUACUUUAGGUAUGGUUAUAGAAGACUAAGUUUAUAUUACUUGGAACAAUCUAAGAAAUUAGAAAGGUCUAUGCUUGGUUUUAUGAUGCUUGUAUUAGACGUGGAAAGAAGGUUAUAGAGGUGUAUAGUAUUGAUUAUACAUCUGAUUCCCAAAUAGGCAUAUCAUAUAGGCAACGGAUUUCCGACGGCUACGACAAAUUUUAGCAACGAAUUUUUACGUUGGUUAUUAGUAACCGAUCAAUGACGAAUAUACUUUUUUGUAAAAAUUAUCAAAAGAAUAACUCACUAAUGGACUAUCGAUGAAAUUUAAGAAAAAAUCACUAAUAGAUCACAUAUUGUAACAGCCAGGAAUUCCAGGUAUUGUUAUAUUUACGAUUUUGGGUGUUUUAAGAGGGGACUCGGCGAGUUGGAGCCUAGACUCGCCGAGUAGGAUCGCGGAACUGGUCGCGGGUUCGCGACUGGACUUGACGAGUCCGGAUAUGGACUCGGCGAGUCUGCGCUGUUUAGCGAAAACCCUAACCGUUCAGGUUUGGGACGUAUAUAAGGGACCUUAUGGCCGUCAUUGUUCACCCUAGUCCUUUGAGAGAAACCCUAAUUCGAUUGUGAGCAUUAGGAGCAAGGUCGAAGACUAUUGUUGAUUUUGGAAGUGUUGCUUUGCAAGGAAGAGGAGCUUGGUUAAGGGAACAACAAGGGAAGCCACGUUCUGAGGAUUGGGGACACAGAGAGCACGUUAUUCAGGUAACAUUUCGAGUUGCAUCCUUCUAUGUUGAUGUGUAUAUGGAUUUAGGGUUUAUUGAACCCUUUUGUGGCUAGAUUAAGUGUUACCUUAGUCCCCCAAACGAUUGGAACCCUGUAUUGGGAUCUUUAGAAGUCCAGAAUCUCCCAUGCCUGAGCAUUUCGGGAAUCAAUGGAGGUUUUGGAUUGGAAUCCUUAUGCCUUAAGACAAAAUUUAAAUUAUGAGUCAUGGGGUGUAUUAUGAGCACCGAAAUGAGGACCUUACGUGAUGAAUCAGUCUAGGAAGGCCAAACCUAUGAAUGGUCGGAGCAGUUCUGACCUUAGAAAGUAGUUUGAGCGGUUGCAUGGCAUGGACUCGCCGAGUCCGAUGAACAGACUCGGCGAGUAGCUUGAAGAUUAACUGGGACUCGUCGAGUUGUUCUUCAGACUCGGCGAGUUGAGUCGGGGUGGCCCNGUCGGGGUGGCCCGCGAUUCGUCCAGGAGGAACUCGUCGAGCCGAGGGGGAUACUCGACGUGAGAAAGGGAAUCUUAGAGAAUCGGCGAGUCAAGGGCGAGUGGACUCAGAGUUAUCGAACUCGGCGAGUCUNNNNNNNNNNNNNNNNNNNNNNNNNNNNNNNNNNNNNNNNNNNNNNNNNNNNNNNNNNNNNNNNNNNNNNNNNNNNNNNNNNNNNNNNNNNNNNNNNNNNAGCAUUUCAAGGGUUGGUUUUGUGGGUUUCUCCAGGCCACUGUACAUUAGCUUACCCUUUCAAAGGUAAGUUUAUAAAACGUUUUCUUAUGUAAUUGUUUUGAUGCCAAUAAAUUUUUAAUUCUCUACUUUCCAAUUUAUGCUAUAUCAAGUAACGCUUAAGUAAGAUCUAAAUCUGACAUCUUGUUCCAUUCUUACUGAAUGAUGUUUGGGGAUCAUGGCAAUGUUGACAAAAGUUGCAGAUCUGAUCACUAGAUCUUGACAUGCUCAUUCCUUAAAUAUAUAUCAAUAAAUUUGGUCCCUGUAGUAUAGUGCUUGUUUUAGUUUUGGCACAAGGUUAAAAUGGUCAUUCAAAAAAAUCCAAUUAUUCUGCUUUUUCAUUUCUGAUUGUUAGAUUUAUACUCCUUGCAGUGUGGAAGGGAAUAUCAUAUACCGUGUUUGAGGAAACACAAGAAGAUGUAUCUGAAGGUGUGUUAAUUUGAAUCUAAAUUUGCUAAAAUUUCCGUCGUUUUCACUCGAUUUAAUAUGAGAUUGUUGAUCUGAAGGUGUCUUCUCAUUUCGGAGGGAUCGGAAUCGGAAUCACAUAUUCCGAUGUGAAAUGGAUUGUUUUCCUUGGGAAAGAUGUUUCUAAUGAAAGGUGACAUUCUAAGGAACAUUUUUGUUAGAAAUGGAGGUGGUGGGUCCUCAAGGUGGAAUUACUUUUCAAGAUUGUUUUUGUUUUUGUCUUUGCAUUGAGAAGUAAAGUAAACAAUGAAUGAAUGAAUAAUGAAUACCCAAUUGGUGGAUAUAUAUUUGAUGUUUUUAAAAUAUAGAUUUGAUGUAUGUUUCAAGAUUUUUCCUUUGUUAAAUAUGUAAUUAUUAUUAAUUUUUUCAUGAAUUUAUAUUUUUUUUAUAUACAAAAGUCGCCGCUAGCCUAUCACAUAAAAUCUAUAUGUGUAACGUCCAAAAUUUCAAAACAAUUAAAACUUUUCAAAAACCACUCAUUUUAAUAAAGUUAUUACAAAAAGGUUUCAAUACAUUAUUUAACAGAGUAUUCUCCCAGGUUCACAUCAANNNNNNNNNNNNNNNNNNNNNNNNNNNNNNNNNNNNNNNNNNNNNNNNNNNNNNNNNNNNNNNNNNNNNNNNNNNNNNNNNNNNNNNNNNNNNNNNNNNNACAAAAUCGGUCUUUUCUGGCCGUGAAAUUGGGGAUGUCACAGCUGCCACCGUUUUGCCACCACUAACCACCAUCUCUGGUGGCUAUGUGUGUGUGUAUAUUAUGUGUGAAGUGGUAUAUGCAAUUUUGGGGCACGAACCACCACCACCACCACCACCAUUGCAAAUGGUGGCUGCUGCCAACCACCACNCACCUCCGAGGUGGCAGUGGGUGGUGUCCGGCCUAAUAGAAGCCUAAUUGGCCCAGUAGCUUAAUCUUGGACUCAGUAGGAUGUGAUUGGAUUGGAAACCCUAAUUAGGGUGUAACACCGUGAAUUUUCAAAAUAAUUUUUGACAAAUAUAUAAAAACAUUUCCCAUUUAAUUUUCAUAAAACAUUAAGUUUAAAAUCUCAAUUCACAUCAUACAAAAUCCCAAGAUCAUAUAUAUAUCCAAAAUCCCAUGCGUGUGUACAGAUCAAGCCGGCGCCUUCCCACGGUCAUCGCUAGUACCUGAAACAACAACACUAACACUGUAAGCACAAAGCUUAGUGAGUUCCCCAAAAUACCACAUAAACAUAUAUUAGCCACUCGAGGCUAUAACUCUAUGGGUCCGUGCACCCAAGCUCUGUGAACCCUCAGGUUCUAACUCUGGGAACCUUCCGGUUCCAACUCUAUAAACAUGCACAACAUAAAUCACAUAGACAUCAUGCAGUACAACACAUAGCAUACACAUAACAUACACAUACUCUGUCACAUAACUCUGAUUACCUACUCAAGGUAAAGUAUAGUGAGAAGACUCACCUCGUAUAUCUCGAUAACUCGCGAAUCCUGGAAAUCACUCGUGCUCGAUCCUCCGAGCUAUAAUCCUCCUAUAACAUCAUAUAUCUCUAAUUAACACUUUUACCACUAAGGUUGACUACCCCUAUCAAGUCAACACUGGUCAACUCUGGUCAACGGUCAACGGUCAACUUUGACCGGACUCGGCGAGUGCACUAGGGCGACUCGGCGAGUCUAAGCGUUUUCACCAACUCUCUAGGAUUCCCUUUUUGACACGUCGAGUAUUCCCCUGACUCGACGAGUUCCACCUGGUAUGAAUCGCGGGGCCACCCCGACUCAACUCGCCGAGUCUCAAGAACAACUCGGCGAGUCCCAGCUCGACUCAGUCCACCUGUCAACCCUCUCUAACUCUCCCUGACUCACUGAGUCAACCCAUAACUCAGUAGGACCACUCACUGAGUGGUUAAGGACAAUCUUCAUGCUACUCGCCGAGUCUGUUCUUCAGACUCGGCGAGUCCAUGCCAUGCAUCAACUCAAACUUGCUUCUGAGGUCAGAUCCGUUCCAACAACUCAUAGAUCUGGCCCUCCUAAGCUUAUUCAUCAUGUAAAGUCCAUAUCUUGGUGCUCAUAACACACCCCAUGACUCAUAAAUGGUGUUUUGACCUCAAGCACAAAGACCCCAAUCCAAAACCCCCAUGGAUUCAUAAAAAGCUUGGGCAAAGGGACACUCUGGACCUCCAAAGGUCCAGAUCUAGAACCUAACUCGCUUAAGGGACCAAGGAAGCACUAGAUCUAGCCACAAAAGGGCUCAACAAGCCCUAAAUCAAUAUAAACAUCAACAUAACAGAGAAUAGCUCGAAGGUAGUACCUCAAAUGUGAUGUUCUGGACCUCAAAUCUUCACGAAGUGGCUCCUCUUGGUUCCCUUUAGCUAUUGCUUCCUUUCCCUUGCAAGAUGACACCUCCAAGGUCAAGAAUGGCUUCAUGCUUUGCUCCAAACGCUCAAACUUGCUAGGGUUUCACUCAGGGGACUGGUGAGCACAAAUGACGGCCUUAAGGCCCUUUAAAUAGGUCCCAAACCCGAGAAAUUAGGGUUUUUAAACAGCANNNNNNNNNNNNNNNNNNNNNNNNNNNNNNNNNNNNNNNNNNNNNNNNNNNNNNNNNNNNNNNNNNNNNNNNNNNNNNNNNNNNNNNNNNNNNNNNNNNNNNNNNNNNNNNNNNNNNNNNNNNNNNNNNNNNNNNNNNNNNNNNNNNNNNNNNNNNNNNNNNNNNNNNNNNNNNNNNNNNNNNNNNNNNNNNNNNNNNNNNNNNNNNNNNNNNNNNNNNNNNNNNNNNNNNNNNNNNNNNNNNNNNNNNNNNNNNNNNNNNNNNNNNNNNNNNNNNNNNNNNNNNNNNNNNNNNNNNNNNNNNNNNNNNNNNNNNNNNNNNNNNNNNNNNNNNNNNNNNNNNNNNNNNNNNNNNNNNNNNNNNNNNNNNNNNNNNNNNNNNNNNNNNNNNNNNNNNNNNNNNNNCAUCCACCUAAAUAUCCUCUAAUGGAACCACUGCCGACUCAUCGGCUAUACACUUCCUCAGCUACGACACAUGAAAAGUGUUGUAAAUUUUCCCCAACUCUGCUGGCAAAUCCAAACGAUCGGCUACACGGCCUACCCUCGCGAUCACACAGAAUGGACCAAUAUAUCGGGGCCCCAACUUGCCCCUCUUCUUGAAUCGAAUCACUCCUUUCGAAGGAGAGACCUUCAGGAGAACAAAGUCGCUGACCUAGAACUCAAGCUCUUCGUCAACCUGGCCAUAAUCACCCAAAUUGCAUCAACUCCUCUAGCAGUCCUCGGCAAUUUNNNNNNNNNNNNNNNNNNNNNNNNNNNNNNNNNNNNNNNNNNNNNNNNNNNNNNNNNNNNNNNNNNNNNNNNNNNNNNNNNNNNNNNNNNNNNNNNNNNNUUCACAUGUAUUGCUGUUCUCCUUUCAAAGGUAAGUUUAUAAAACUUUUUCUUAUGUAUUUGUUUUGAUGCCAAUAAAUUUUUAAUUCUCAACUUUCCAAUUUAUGCUAUAUCAAGUAACGCUUAAGUAAGGUCUAAAUCUGACAUCUUGUUCCAUUCUUACUGAAUGAUGUUUGGAGAUGAUGGCAAUGUUGACAGAAGUUGCAUAUCUGAUCACUAGAUCUUGACAUGCUCAUUCCUUAAAUAUAUAUCAAUAAAUUUGGUCCCUGUAGUAUAGUGCUUGUUUUAGUUUUGGUACAAGGAUAAAUGGUCAUUCAAAAAAAUCCAAUUAUGCUGCGUUUUGAUUUCUGAUUGUUAGAUUUAUCCUCCUUGCAGUGUGAAAGGGAAUAUCAUAUACGGUGUUUGAGGGAACACAAGAAGAUGUAUCUGAAGGUGUGUUAAUUUGAAUCUAAAUUUGCUAAAAUUUCCAUCGUUUUCACUCGAUUUAAUAUGAGAUUGUUGAUCUGAAGGUGUCUUCUCAUUUCGGAGGGAUCGGAAUCGGAAUCACAUAUUCCGAUGAGAAGUGGAUUGUUUUCCUUGGGAAAGAUGUUUCUAAUGAAUGCUGACAUUCUAAGGAACAUCUUUGUUAGAAAUGGAGGUGGUGGGUCCUCAAGGUGGAAUUAAUUUUCAAGAUUGUUUUGGAUUUUGUCUUUGCAUGGAGAAGUAAAGUAAACAAAGAAUGAAUGAAUAAUGAAUACCCAAUUGGUGGAUUUAUAUUUGAUGGUUUUAAAAUACAGAUUUGAUGUAUGUUUCAAGAUUUUUCCCUUGUUAAAUAUGUAAUUAUUGUUAAUUUUUUGAUGAAUUUAUAUUUUUUUUUUAUAUACAAAAGUCGCCGCUAGCCUAUCACAUAAAAUCUAUAUGUGAUCUAUUAGUGAGUUUUUCUUAAAUUUCAUCGAUAGUCCGUUAGUGAGUUAUUCUUUUGGUAAUUUUUACAAAAAAGUGUAUUCGUCAUUGAUCGGUACCAAUAACCGACCUAAAAAUUCGUUGCUAAAAUUUGCCAUAGCCGUCGGAAAUCCGUUGCAUAUAUGAUAUGCCUUUUUGGGAAUCAGAUGUAUAAUCAAUACUAUACACCUCUAUAACCUUCUUUCCACGUCUAAUACAAGCAUCAUAAAACCAAGCAUAGACCUUUCUAAGUUCUUAGAUUGUUCCAAGUAAAAUAAACUUAGUCUUCUAUAACCAUACCUAAAGUAGAUUAAAAAAACUUUUUAUGUAAAAAAAUUAAUAAUAAAUAACUUUAAAGGUGAUAAUAAACCUUCAAUGGAUCGAUGAUAUCACAAUCAUUUUUUAUUUCAUAAUCACCUUUAAACUCAUCAUUAUAAGAAAAAGUAUGAAGCAAAAUUAGUUUUAUACUUGCACACUUUUUAUCUCAAUGAAAAUAUGAAUGGGAACAACAUCAAGAGUUAUGCAUCAAACUAAAAGAUUGUAAUAACCAAACUAACAUUUUCUUGUAUUCGUUAAUCUAAAAAAAGGUACGGUUCAGUAAACUACUUAGAUGCGUCCAGAUAAAAUGAAACUCCACCUACACGCCACAACGCCGCUGCCGCCGAUCCAUCGCCAUCUAAAUGCCACAACGUCGCAGCCGGAGACAUCGUAAACAACCCGGAAAACCGCUGAUGGUCGACAAAAGGACGUGUUCACUGCAGCAAGGGCGCGACCUACCGAGUGGCUUCAGGUAAGACCAUCUGCCACUUGUCUCCCUCCUCUCCUCCGUCCCUUUGUGCGUGUUAGACAUCAGAUGCUUCAGCGCUGCCGUCGGUGGCCUUUGGCAACUGUUUUCGUAACUUUCCGGCAACAUCAGCCGCAUGGAAGGUGGCUGGGUGGAUGUAUGUCUAGAAUAUAUGUUGUUUUCGGUGUUAUUGCUGCUGUAUGAGCCAUUUUUGGCCGGAAAAUCAAUGAAGGUCCGUCACCACCACCAUGAGGGCGGCUGCCNUUCCACCACUAACCACCAUCUCUAGUGGCUACGUGUGUGUGUGUGUGUAUUAUGUGUGAAGUGGUAUAUGCAAUUUUUGGGCAGGAACCACCACCACCACCACCAUUGCAAAUGGUGUCUGCUGCCGACCACCACCGCCGAGGUGGCAGUGGGUGGUGUCUGGCCUUGUGGAACCCUAAUUGGCCUAGUUGCUUAAUCUUGGACUCAGUAGGAUUGUGAUUGGAUUGGAAACCCUAAUUAGGGUUUAUAAAACCCUAACUCUGGGAAUGUUACUUUUGGAAUUAUCGGGACACGCGUUUCGACUAUUAUACUGGAAUUUUGAUUUAUAUCCAACUACAUUGUAUGAAUGGCCUAAUAGAGUGAUGGACUUUAAUGGAUUAAGUGUUUAAUGGGUUAAGUUAGAUUACUUAACCCUAAUCGUCAUUUCAUGUGAGAAACCCUAAUUUUGCUUUGGCCUUGAGUUUGGCCUUUCUAUUGGGCUUUGGUGAUUGGGCUACUGAUGGGCAAUCCAAAAACAAGCAUAUGGACUAUUAUAUUUGGAUUGAGCUUUAGGAUAAGGCCUAAUGGAUAUACUUGGGCCCAAUUGGGAAAAUUAGGAAUGCAUUAUGAAAAAUUUAGAAAAUAUUUGUCGGAUUCUUACACAUAGUUAGGAGCUGAGAAAAUGGACUCUUCUAAGAUCACUUGGAUGCCAAUUUUUGGUAGCCUUGGAUGAAUUGCAUGUAAAAUAGAGAAACCUAGAUCCAAGCUUUAGGGUUUGCAUGAGCGCAUAGGAUGUUGUUUUGUAUAAAACCCAUCAGCCAGUUCCUUCGCCGUCUGGUCACUGUUCGCAUUGUACGCCCCGUGUAACGAAGUGUACGCCAAGCAUACGCAUUGGGCAGUCGAAUUUCGUUGACUUUUGACUUAGAUUUGGAUGUUAAAUACUAAGUAGGGUUAAUUAUUUCGUUCGCUAGCAGAAGUCUAAUUCUGGCAGUUCGGCUAUGACAUUUACUUGUCGAUAGUAUAAGGCGAGUCUCCUCAGUUAUCCUUACCUGUCUGGUAGAAUAGUUGUAUUUAUGAUGAUCAGUGGGUCUGNGUAUUUAUGAUGAUCAGUUGGGUCUGCUGUUAUUUUGUGUUACGUUGUUACGUGUGACUGAGACUGAGGACAGUCCCUAGAGUUGCUGAUAACUCAUAAGGUGUGUUGUUGCCCACUGGUAUUGUUGAUAGUCCCCAAGGUUGCUGAUAACCCAUAGUUAUUUAUUUAUGUGGUGUUGUGUGUGAUAUCUUGGAAAACUCACUAAGCUUCAUGGUUACAGUUGUUGAUUUAUCUGUUUCAGGUAGUUUUGAGAAGUGCGGGAAGGCGAAUGUCUGAUUGUGCACACUAACUGGGAGGAUGGAUAGAGGUUUGGGUGUAACAACUCAAAUUUUUCAAACAAAUUUUUCAAUUUUAAAACAUAAUUAUUUUCAUUAAAAACAAGGCAUAAAUAGUCAAUCAUUCAGUCAAUACAAUUAUUCAAAAUCCCAAGAUCAUAAAAACCAUCUUCAGUGUGUAUCGAUCAUGCCGGCGCCUUCCCACGGUCCUCGCUAGUACCUGAAAUACAUGCACAACAACUGUAAGCAUAAAUGCUUAGUGAGUUCCCCAAUAUACAACUUACGCACAUACGCCUUCCGGCCCGGACCUUUCGGUCCACAUAACAUUGCCUUCCGGCCCGGCCUUCCGGUCCAUGUGUCUCUGGGGACUUCCGUCCCUGCUGGGUAAACCUUCCGGCCUUACCCACGCCGACCUUCCGGUCCAUCACACAUCAUAUCGCCUUCCGGCCCAUAACAUAUUCGCCUUCCGGCCCAUAACAUACAUAGCACAUAUAACAUAUAACAUACCACAUAUAGCAUACAUAUCACAUAUCAUAUCCGACCUUCCGGUCACACAGUCAAACCCUUCCGGGUACAGUAUAGUGAGAAGACUCACCUCGUAAAUGCUGAAAGCUAGCAACUCCUGAAAUCACUCGCGCACAAACCAACGAGCUACAACCCUCCUAUAACAUUACAUAACUCAUUAACACUCAUAUCAUCUAAGUGUGACUAUCCCUAAGAAGUCAGACUUAGGUCAACUCUGGUCAACGGUCAACGGUCAACUCGACUGGACUCGGCGAGUACCAUGGCGACUCGGCGAGUCUAGUCGUCCUCACAAAUUCCUGAAUAUUCCCUUUCUACUCGUCGAGUAUCCCUCUUGACUCGACGAGGUCCUCGUGGAAGAAUCGCGGGGCCACCCCGACUCCACUCGCCGAGUCUGAUGAACAACUCGGCGAGUCCCAGUAAAUCUUCAAGCUACUCGCCGAGUCUGAAGAACAACUCGGCGAGUCCAUGCCAUGCAGACGAGUAACUGCUUCCUGAGAUAGGUCUCGUCCCGAAGUACACAUGCAUGGGACCUUCUGGACCUCUAAAGGUCCUAAUACAAGACUAUAAUCGUGGGGUAACAAGGCAUUACUUCAUCAAAUCACUAAAUGGGUUCUAUAAACCCUAAUUUCAUAAAUACAUCAAAAUAACAGAUUUGGUCCGAGUAUUACCUGAAAACGCACUCUCUGUGUCCCCCAAAUCUCAGGACUCAAUCCUCCUUGAUAUUCCUUUAGCCAAAUCCCUCUUCUUCUUGCCUAACCAAUUCUUCCAAGUUCCAAAGCUUUCUCCCUUGCUCUAGGCGUCCACAGCGAUUAGGGUUCCUCUCAAUUGACCAAAAGACUGAAAAUGACGGCCUAAGAGGCGUUAAAUACGAUCCAAACUGAACGGUUAGGGUUUCUGCUGAACAGCGUCGACUCGCCGAGUCCAUAUCUGGACUCGUCGAGUCCAGUCGCGGACCCGCGACCAAGUCCGCGAUCCUACUCGGCGAGUCUAGGCUCCAACUCGCCGAGUCCCCUCUUAAAUCACCCCAAAAACAUAAUUUUAAUAAUACCUGAGAUUCCGGGCUGUUACAAUUCUCCCCCACUUGGAUUAGACUUCGCCCUCGAAGUCUCACUCUGCAAAUAGUUCCGGAUGCUGCUCCCGCAUUUCGCGCUCCGGUUCCCAAGUCAUUUCUGAUCCCUUACGGUGUUGCCAUUGAACCAACACCAGAGGUACUUCCUUGUUCCUCAGAACCUUGAUCUUCCGAUCCCUGAUAGCCACUGGUCUCUCCGCGUAAUUCAGGCUCGCAUCCACCUGAAUAUCCUCCAAUGGAACCACUGCCGACUCAUCGGCUAUGCACUUCCUCAACUGCGACACAUGAAAAGUGUCAUGGAUCUGACCCAACUCCGCUGGCAACUCCAACCGGUAGGCUACCCGACCUAUCCUUGCAAUCACACGAAAUGGCCCAAUAUACCGGGGCCCCAACUUGCCUCUCUUCCUGAACCGAAUCACUCCUUUCCAAGGAGAGACCUUCAGGAGAACGAAGUCGCCGACUUGAAAUUCAAGCUCGGAUCGGCGCCUGUCUGCAUAACUCUUCUGUCGGCUCUGGGCAGUCAAUAAUCUUUGUCUCACUUGUUGAAUCUGCUCUGUCGUCUGGAGUAUGAUCUCCGUGCUGCCCAUCACUCUCUGUCCCACCUCUCCCCAGCAAAUGGGAGUCCGACACCUCCUACCAUACAACAGCUCGAAAGGCGGCAUACCAAUGCUCGAAUGAUGGCUGUUGUUGUAGGAAAACUCUGCUAAGGGUAAAUACGCAUCCCAACUACCCCCGAAGUCUAACACACACGCUCGGAGCAUGUCCUCCAGUGUCUGAAUUGUCCGCUCGCUCUGACCGUCUGUCUGGGGAUGGUAUGCGGUACUAAAAUGCAAUUUAGUACCCAGCUCCUCAUGGAAUUUCUUCCAGAAUCUGGAAGUAAAGCGCACAUCACGGUCUGACACAAUCGAGAUCGGCACCCCGUGCCGAGAUACCACCUCUCUCACGUAUAUCUCCGCCAAUUUCUCCGCCGAAGAACUCUCACUGAUGGCAAGGAAGUGUGCACUCUUUGUCAACCUAUCCACGAUCACCCAAAUUGCGUCAACUCCCCUAGCAGUCCUCGGCAAUUUGGUGAUAAAAUCCAUAGUAAUCUGUUCCCACUUCCACUCGGGGAUCUCCAAUGGCUGUAACUUGCCAUGCGGUCUCUGGUGCUCAGCCUUAACCCUACGGCAGGUCAAGCACCUCUCAACGAACCAUGCCACGUCCCUCUUCAUACAGGGCCACCAAUAUUCCUUCCUUAAAUCCAAAUACAUCUUUGUAGCACCGGGAUGGAUCGAGAAUUUCGAUCUAUGAGCCUCUUCCAUCAACGUAAUACGCGUACCGCCCACGAACGGUACCCAAAUCCGACCCUGAAACGUCAUAAGGCCUCGACUAUCCUUGACAAACUCUGAGAUUAACCCCACAACCCGCUCUUUCUUCUGCAUUUCUGGUCGCACAGCCUCCGCCUGGGCCCCACGAAUAGCGUCCAAUACUGGAGUCAUCACAGUCAGUCUCAAGCAUACGUCUCGCAAUGGAGUGCUCUCCGCCCUGCGGCUCAAUGCAUCGGCUACCACAUUAGCCUUGCCUGGGUGGUACAGGAUCUCACAAUCAUAAUCCUUGACCACAUCCAACCACCUCCUCUGACGCAUAUUUAGGUUGGGUUGAUCCAUCAAAUACUUCAAACUCUUAUGGUCCGUGUAUAUCGUACAUCGAACCCCAUACAAGUAGUGACGCCAAAUCUUGAGAGCGAACACUACUGCCCCCAACUCUAAAUCAUGCGUGGGAUAUCUCGCCUCAUGAGGCUUCAGCUGCCUCGACGCAUAAGCUAUCACAUGACCCCUCUGCAUUAACACUGCACCCAAUCCCGAAAUCGAUGCGUCGCAAUAUACCACGAAAUCUUCCAUCCCUUCUGGGAGAGCUAAUACCGGGGCUUCGCACAAUCUCUGGCGAAGUGUCUCAAAGGAGGUCUGCUGCUCGGGCCCCCAUGAGAAUGUAACACCCUUCCGGGUCAAUCUGGUGAGUGGCACUGCGAUCUUGGAGAAAUCCUUGAUAAAUCUCCGAUAAUACCCUGCCAACCCAAGGAAACUUCUGAUCUCAGAGGGUGACUUCGGCACCUCCCAACUCAUCACCGCCUCAACCUUGGCCGGAUCGACCAAUAUCCCUUUCUGAUUAACCACAUGUCCUAGAAACUGGACCUCCCGCAACCAGAAGUCACAUUUGGAGAACUUUGCAUAAAGCUUCUCCGACCUCAAUACCUCAAGGACCUCCCUCAAAUGCUCCUCAUGCUGCUCUCUAGAUCUCGAAUACACCAGAAUGUCGUCGAUAAAUACAAUCACUGACCGAUCCAACAUCGGCCUGCAUACCCUGUUCAUGAGAUCCAUGAACACAGCCGGGGCAUUGGUGAGUCCAAAAGGCAUCACCACAAACUCAUAAUGCCCAUAUCGCGUCCUAAACGCUGUCUUCUGGACGUCCUCAUCCCGUACUCUCACCUGAUGGUAUCCUGACCUCAGAUCGAUCUUGGAAAACCAAGAUGCUCCCUGCAACUGAUCGAAUAAAUCAUCGAUCCUCGGCAACGGGUAACGGUUCUUGACCGUUAGCUUGUUCAACUCCCGGUAAUCAAUGCACAUCCGGUGUGAACCAUCCUUCUUUUUGACGAACAGAAUAGGUGCUCCCCAUGGCGAGCUGCUCGGCCGAAUGAAUCCCUUUCCCAGCAACUCCUGGAGUUGCGAGGACAACUCUUGCAUCUCUGGAGGUGCAAGACGAUAGGGCACUUUAGCAAUAGGCGCUGCCCCCGGAACCAGAUCGAUACUAAACUCUACUUGCCUCACAGGCGGUACUCCCGGCAACUCCUCGGGAAAGACAUCUGAAAACUCGCGCACCACCGGAACUUCCUCAACUGACUUCGGUUUCUCAGAAACCUCCCGCGUAUCCAUCACAUACGCCACGAAACCCUUACAGCCCUGUCGUAGACACUGCCUCGCCCUAGCGGCCGAACAAAAAGCUGAUCCCGAACGGGUACCCUCGCCGUAUACCGAAAGAACUCCCCCACUAGGGUCUCGUAUAGUCACCAACUGACGCUCACAGUCGAUGACAGCGCCGAAUCGGCUCAACCAGUCCAUGCCCACGAUGACACAGACAUCCCCCAUCGCGAUAGGAAUCAGAUCAAUCGGGAAUCCAACCCCGAAAAUCUCUAGUACACAUCCCCGAAGAACCUCCGUAGCACAAAUCACCUUCUCGUCAGCUAUAGAGACUCUCAAAGGUCGACUCAACGACUCACGACUAACGCCAAUAUGCUGACUAAAGGCCAAGGACACAAAGGACCUACUCGCACCCGAGUCAAAUAACACUAAGGCAGGCACAGAGUUCACAAGGAAAGUACCUACGCGCAUAAUAACAUAAGCAUAACAUAUCGACAUUAAAAUAAUUACAUGAAUUACAACAUACCUGCCACAACAUCGGGCGCAGCGCGGACCUCCUCCGCAGUCAGCUGAAAGGCUCUCCCACGAGCCCUCGGGGCCUCGACCUUCACCGGUCGAGUCUCAGUAGUCCUGGCAACAGGUGCAGAUCCCUGACGAAGCUGAGGGCACUCGGCCUUCCGAUGGCCGGUCUGGUUGCAAUGAAAGCAAACCAUAAAUCCCUUGGGACACUCCCUAGCAAUGUGUCCCUCCUUGCCACACUUGUAGCAAGCACCGGCUCGACACGCCCCAUCGUGACCCUUACCGCACUUUACGCAAGUGCGGUUCUUCGAACCUCCCGUCCUCGAAUCGGCGGACUUGAUCCGCUUGGCUGCCGGCUGAGACUGAGCCGGCCGCCGGUCUGCCUGCUGAGACUCGGCCUCCUCCCUGGCCUGAGUCUCUAACUCGAUCUCACGCUUCCUGGCAUUCGCCUGAAGCUCAGUAAAAGUAUGGUAAGUGGAGUUUGACACAAACUCCCGGAUCUCCCUCCUCAGAACACCCAAGUACCGGCUCAUCCGAGCCUGCUCUGUGGCCACCAGCUCGGGGCAAAACAUCGCCCUCUCAUGGAACUUCCGCGUGAUCGCCGCCACCGAAUCAGUACCCUGCUUGAGGGUUAAGAACUCCUGAACCAAUCGUUCCCGCUCCACCGGGGGAACGUACUCCUCCCUGAACAUGGUAGUGAACCCCUCCCAUGUCACUGCCGCAGUCUCUGCCAAAGUGAAGUUCGCCGUCACGAACUUCCACCAGUCCUUCGCUCCCAGACGGAGCUGGUUCAAAGCGAACCGUACCCUCAGGUGCUCCGGGCAUGAACAAGUGUAGAAGCACCCCUCUAUAUCUGCGAUCCACCUCAUCGCAGCAAUCGGAUCCUGCGUCCCAUCGAACUCUGGUGGCUUCGUGUUGCUGAACUCUCGGAACAGCAAUGAAUCACCCCCCUGUGGCCUAGCAGCGGCCACAGCUGCGGUAGCUGCAGCGGUUGCAGCCUCAGUCAAUGCGGCGUACCGCUCGUCGAACGUCUCCAUCAGGGUGGUCUUGAUAGACCCAAACAUCUCCGGGAUCUCAGCCCGGAUCGCCGCCGCCACCUCCUCGUGGAUCAUCUGACGAAUAUCCUCGUCACUCACACCGCUCGUACUUGCCCCGUGCCGCGGUCUAACCAUGAUAUCUCUGAAAUACAACAUAAAACUAUCAGAGAUUCUACCGAGUAUAAUCGUACUCGACACGCAACCCUACUCAGUCCCAGAUAUCCAGGGAUUCUUACUUGGGCCUCCCACUGACCCGGUGUCCUCGGUAGUACGGGCCCAAUACUACCGACCACACCGCAUCAAUGUUCAUCCCAAGUCCUCCUCCCCAAACUCCAGAUAGUGAGUACUCUACUUCUGAUACGCUCUAUCUACCCGCAUACUAGCAAAGCAUCUCAUAUAAGCAACUUCCCUAGACUAAGGCAUCACAAAUCAGGCCACUCUAGUCCUAUCAUGAAUACCUAGUCUUCUAGCAUGCAUAACAAUUCAUAUCAUAUAAUAUUGUAAGGUAUUUUGGGGAUCUUUACCGUUCGGGCGCUGACUGAUCGUACACACUGCUUCUUUCUUGCAUACCACAAAACCAUUUACAAAAGUUUAUGCCUUUAUUUGAAAAGUUUCCUCAAAUCCUCGGUUUGAGUUUAGUUACCCCCGAAGGUGCACCCGAAUCCCUCAAACCAAGGCUCUGAUACCAAUUGUAACAACUCAAAUUUUUCAAACAAAUUUUUCAAUUUUAAAACAUAAUUAUUUUCAUUAAAAACAAGGCAUAAAUAGUCAAUCAUUCAGUCAAUACAAUUAUUCAAAAUCCCAAGAUCAUAAAAACCAUCUUCAGUGUGUAUCGAUCAUGCCGGCGCCUUCCCACGGUCCUCGCUAGUACCUGAAAUACAUUACCUAUAAUUAUCAGUAUCACAUUACCUAUAGUUAAUUUUGGUAAGCUCAUUAAAUCGAACAUUAGUGUUAAAACCUAGACCAAUUUUACAAAUAUAUUUUGAUAAAUAUUCUACACUAUGUCAUUCUGGAAAUUAAUGAUCGACCAUCAAUGGAUAUUUACCUACAAAGUUGAUCCUCGAGCAUCAAUCGUCCAGUGGAGGUUUGUGCAUGUGUUAUGUUUCUUGCAUGCUUAUCAAAAUUCAUUCUAACAGUCGUUGACAUGUUCUAUAACUCAUUCUGCAUUGAAACAAAAAAGAAAUCCAAAUAUACUUUAAAUGCAAUGUCGCAAUGAAUAUAGCAGAAUGUGUACAUAUCAAAAUAUCGGGUGUGAGUAAUCGAAAAAUCAUCCAAGUGAACUUGCGGACAGACCUUUCUUAAAAUUGAAUCUUUCUCGUUGAGCUUUCUUAGACAUCGAGAUUUAACUCGAGGAGGUGCAAAACGAUAAAUAUAUGUACAAUUUUACCUUAUUUACAUUAUUAAGAUCAGUUUUUCAUGAAAUUGAAUUUUUAAAUAAAUAUAAUUAUCAGUAUACAAGAUUAUUAUGAUUUCAUUUAACACAAUCAUAAUUUCAACUUUUUGUGAAAACUUUAAUUUUGUAGCCAAACAUUAUAAUAAGUUUGUGCUAAUGACACCUGUCAUGUUGAAAGGCUAAACAAUGAAUAAGGUAUAGUCAACCUCGAAUAAUCACAAUGUCAAAUGAUAGAAGAUAUUCUCACUUAAACAAGCAAGAAAAAUGUAUCAAAUGUUUUUGAAAAAAAAUACAAAUAAAGAUAGUGUGGCCAUUUACAAAUAAGAACCGUUAAAAAAAUAGUUAUGUAUACAAAGGAGUAUUAUGACCAUUUACAAAUAUUUAAGAUCUGUUAAAAGUGUCAUUUUUCUUAAUGGUUGGGCUGUAUGUGACGAUAUGUACAAUUUUAGGGGAGGUUGAUGCAAAUCACCAUCGCUAGAGAUCAGGAUUAGGGUUGACGCCCACACUUUUCUUACUAUAUAUUAGAUGUUGAGGAUCCACAGCCGCUGUCAUAAUCAACUGAAUCUAGAUCCAGGAUCCAAACAUCAAACUAUUCACAAAUAAUUAAGAGCUUAGGAGGAUAAUGCAUAUCUGAAAAUCAUGCAUUGGUUUGAUAAAGUUAUCGAUCUGUGUCUUUUGGGUCAUGCAAAUCACCAAGACUUUUAUUUGUUGAUUUCAAAAAAAAAAUUCUCUAUCAUGCACACAGAUCAAAAAACUAGCAAAGAUCCGCAAUAUUUUGUAAGAAAAACCAUGUAAGUUAUCAUUCUGAAUCAUGUGUUUUGAAGCUGUUGUGUCCUUUUUUUUGUAGUUUCGAAGUUUAUAUAUGCUGUUCUCCUGUGACUCUCACUUUCUUGAUCUGUUGUCAGUCUAGUUGAAUCAGAUCGGUACCAGUUAGGUGUUCAUAGCAUUUCAAGGGUUGGUUUUGUGGGUUUCUCCAGGCCACUGUACCUUACCCUUUCUGAUGUCAAGUGGAUUGUGUUCCUUGGCAAAGAUGUUUCUGAUGAUAACAAAAUGUUCAUAAGCUUUUGAUAUCUUUCAUGUGAAUGUUUCAUGUGAGUAUAAACUAUAAACUAUAAAGUAGUGUUUUUAUUAUUCUUUUACACGCCUGCUACAGAUUAAUCAGUAGAUUACCAUUUAUUUUAUUUCUGCAGGUUUUCAUUGAUUGUAACAAAAAGGCUUCACAUGUAUUGCUGUUCUCCAUUCAAAGGUAAGAUUAUAAAACGUUUUCUUAUGUAAUUGUUUUGAUGCCAAUAAAUUUUUAAUUCUCAACUUUCCAAUUUAUGCUAUAUCAAGUAACGCUUAAGUAAGGUCUAAAUCUGACAUCUUGUUCCAUUCUUACUGAUUGAUGUUUGGAGAUGAUGGCAAUGUUGACAGAAGUUUCAUAUCUGAUCACUAGAUCUUGACAUGCUGAUUCCUUAAAUAUAUAUCAAUAAAUUUGGUCCCUGUAGUAUAGUGCUUGUUUUAGUUUUGGUACAAGGUUAAAAUGGUCAUUCAAAAAAAUCCAAUUAUGCUGCGUUUUGAUUUCUGAUUGUUUGAUUUAUCCUCCUUGCAGUGUGAAAGGGAAUAUCAUAUAUGGUGUUUGAGGGAACACAAGAAGAUGUAUCUGAAGGUGUGUUAAGUUGAAUGUAAAUUUGCUAAAAUUUCCAUCGUUUUCACUCGAUUUAAUAUGAGAUUGUUGAUCUGAAGGUGUCUUCUCAUUUCGGAGGGAUCGGAAUCCGAAUCACAUAUUCCGAUGUGAAGUGGAUUGUUUUCCUUGGGAAAGAUGUUUCUAAUGAAUGGUGACAUUCUAAGGAACAUCUUUGUUAAAAAUGGAGGUGGUGGGUCCUCAAGGUGGAAUUACUUUUCAAGAUUGUUUUCGUUUUUGUCUUUGCAUGGAGAAGUAAAGUAAACAAUGAAUGAAUGAAUAAUGAAUACCCAAUUGGUGGAUUUAUAUUUAAUGGUUUUAAAAUAUAGAUUUUAUGUAUAUUUCAAGAUUUUUCCUUUGUUGAAUAUGUAAUUAUUGUUAAUUUUUUCGUGAAUUUAUAUUUUUUUUUUAUCUACAAAACUGGCCGCUAGCCUAUCACAUAAAAUCUAUAUGUGAUCUAUUAGUGAGUUUUUCUUAAAUUUUGUCGAUAGUCCGUCAGUGAGUUAUUCUUUUGGUAAUUUUUACAAAAAAGUAUAUUCGUCAUUGAUCGCUUACUAAUAACUGACGUAAAAAUUUGUUGCUAAAAUUUGUCAUAGCCUUCGGAAAUCCGUUGCAUAUAUGAUAUGCCUUUUUGGGAAUCAGAUGUAUGAUCAAUACUGUACACCUCUAUAACCCUCUUUCCACGUCUAAUACAAGCAUCAUAAAACCAAGCAUAGACCUGUCUAAUUCCUUAGAUUGUUCCGAGUAAAUAAACUUAGUCUUCUAUAACCAUACCUAAAGUAGAUUAAAAAAACUUUUUAUGUGAAAGAAUUAAUAAUUAAUAACUUUAAAGGUGAUAAUAAACCUUCAAUGGCUCGAUGAUAUCACAAUCAUUUUUUAUUUCAUAAUCACCUUUAAACUCAUCAUUAUAAGAAAGAGUAUGAAGCAAAAUUACUUUUAUACUACACGCACACUUUUUAUCUCAAUGAAAAUAUGAAUGGGAACAAGAUCAAGAGUUAUGCAUCAAACUAAAAGAUUGUAAUAAUCAAACUAACAUUUUCUUGUAUCCGUUAAUUCAAAAAAAGGUAUGGUUCAAUAAACAAAUUAGAUGUGUCGAGAUAAAAUGAAACUCCACCAACACGCCACAAUGUCGCCGCCGCCGCUCCUUCGCCAUCUAAAUGCCACAACGUCGCUGCCAGAGACGCCGUGAACAUCCUGGAAAACCGCUGAUGGACGAUAAAUGGACGUGUUCGCAGCAGCAAGGGCGCGAGCUACCGAGAGGCUUUAGGGAAGACCAUCUGCCACUUCUCUCUCUCCUCUCCUCCGUCCUUUUGUGCGUGUUCGACGAUAGAUGCGUCACCGCUGCCCCCGGUGGCCUUUGGCCACUAUUUUCGUAGCUUUCCAGCAACAUCAGCCACCUGGAAGGUGGUUGGGAGGAUGUAUGUCUAGAAUAUAUGUUGUUGUCGGUGUUAUUGUUGCUGUAAGAGCCAUUUUAGGUUGGAAAAUCAAUGAAGGUCCGUCACCACCACCAUGAGGUAGUGGCUGGCCCCNNNNCUAACUACCAUCUCUGGUGCCUAUGUGUGUGUGUAUAUUAUGUGCGAAGUGGUAUAUGCAAUUUUUGAACCACCACCACAACCAUUGCAAAUGGUGGAUACCGCCGUGAGCCGCCGCCGACCACCACCGCCGAGGUGGCAGUGGGUGGUGUCCAGCCUAGUGGAACCCUAAUUGGCCCAAUAGCUUAAUCUUGGACUUAGUAGGAUUGUGAUUGGAUUGGAAACCCUAAUUAGGGUUUACAAAACCCUAACUCUAGGAAUGUUAGUUUGGGAAUUGCCGGGAGUAGCGUUUGGAAUGUUAUAUUGGAAUUUUGAUUUAUGUCCAACUACAUUGUAUGAAUGGCCUAAUGGAGUGAUGGACUUAAUGGAUUAAGUGCUUAAUGAGUUAUGUCCUUAUUGGGUUAAUUAAGAAUGCUUAACCCUAAUCGUCAUUUCAUGUGAGAAACCCUAAUUUUGCUUGGGCCUUGAGUUUGGCCUUUCAAUUGGGCUUUGGUGAUUGGGCUACUGAUGGGCCAUCCAAAAACAAGCAUAUGGACUAUAAUAUUUGGAUUGAGCUUUAGGAUAAGGCCUAUUGGAUAUACUUGGGCCCAAUUGGGAAAAUUAGGCCAUAGAUGGACCAUAACAGGGCCUUGAUGAUUAUGAGAUAUUGGAUCCGUAGCAUGCCAAGUGUUUCGACCACAAUAAAUGGUUGGGCCUUAAGGUAAGACCCUGUUGAGGUUUGGGCCCAAUUUUAAGUUGGGCAUUAGUUCAUUGUUUGACUUUUGGCCUUUAGAUUGGGCCUUGGGCAUUAAUCAAGCUAAGUUGGGGGUAAAGUAGCCUUUUACCCCAAACAUGGACCUAUGGUUAUGUGAUGGCACCCAAUUAUUAAUUGGGUGUUUUUUUAUGUUGACAGUUCAAAAAUCUAUCAUUCAACAGCUACAGUUUGACCGCGGGACUUCAACAGUAUGAGUUGAGUUUCCUUCAGUAGGAACGGGUCGAAAGCACCAAUGCCAGCCCGUAGAGUUUAUAUGUUCUUGAUAGGAACAUGAGGUAUGGGCGGGGGUCGUAUCUCAUUAUUACCUGAGUAUAGAUACUAGUCAGAUUGUUGGAUUGUUAUACUUGUAUUCUGUGUGAUACCGGUAUGUGUUGUUAGGAAUGUGAGUUUGGGCGGGUCGCGUAUCUUAUAGUAGCUGAGUGUGGAUAGGGCCCAUAUCUCAUUGAGUUUGGGCGGGGCCCGUAUUUCCUAGUAGCUUGGGGAGACUCACUAAGCUUCUUGCAGAAAGUUUUUAGUUUUGGUUUCGGGUACUUUUGUUAGCAAGGAGAACAGCUCGGGAUGAUUUAGUGCACACAUCAUUUGUUUAGCAUGGGAUAUUAAUACUCUGAUAUAUUGUGACAGAUGCUAUGAUAUUUUGAGGUACACGAUUUAUUGUUGUUUUGAUUACUACGGUGUUAUUAAUGAUUUAAAAUGAAAAUUUUCGAAUGUAUAUUUAGGAUGGUUCAAAUUGGUAUCACAACCUUGGUCUGAGGGAUUCGAGCACAUUCUCGGGUGUGUCUGAACUCAAAUUGAGGACUUGGUAUGAAAUUUUUCAAAAGAAAAUCAUUUUUACAAAAGAACUUUGAAAGUGAAAAGGGUUUUAGAAAAGAGAAAACGAGUGUGGUGCAUGCACUCAACCAAUCUCAAGUAAGUACUCCCAAAUUACGCGUACGAGUGUAUGUUAUGAUAUGAUUAUGAGAACUGCAUGCUAGAAUAGGGCUAAGGAUCUAGGAAUGAUGCGUUGUAUGCCUGUUAUAUGUGUAUGCGAACUGCAUGCUAGUUAGGGCUAAGGAUCUAGGAAGGAUGCCUUAUGUGCAUGCUAUAUGAGCUUGUUGAGUUGUAUGAUAGUAAUGAUUAGUCAGUGAUAUGAUGGCCUGAUUAGAGUGUGAUUGAUUAUGUUUACUUAAUUCUUGAAUGGUUCUUGCUUUUUCUUUUAAGAGUUCUAGUUACCUCUAACUAAAUAGUAAACGAAUAUGUUAAGUUACAUAUUGUGAGGACUAAAUAAUUUCAGAAGGUUAGGUUUAGCUCUAUUUCACAACUCUUGUUUGAGUCCAACCAUUGUAGGGUAGAACCUCUCAUUCGAAGAAUGAUCUAUUCUUAGUAAUAUGUAAUGCUAUUCGUUAGCUAGUUAGGGGAGAUAGAAAGAACUUCUUAUAUAGCUAAUGGCGGAGAGUGGAUUGGUAAUUACACUAGGGCAAGCCUAGGCUGAGAGUAGUAGAGAACAAUAGUAGCAGUAGAAGGGACUUGGUGGAGUCAGUGCAGUUCUUGAUGUAAGCACAUAUAGAUGUGGAAGGCUGUAUGGGCCCGUACUAUUGAAAGAAGAGGAUAUGUACUCAAACCAAGGAAGGAUGAGACGAACCCAAGGAACUUGUAGUCUGUGAGAUCCCUCGAAUUAUGAUGAGUAUUCUAAUGGUUAUUCUGGUAUAUUUAUGAGUAUGGAGACGCUAUGUGGUAGACCAGAUGUCAGAUCUGGUGUUGGAAAGGAAUCAAGCUCUAACUCUAGAGCCGGAUAGCUUGAUGGUCAGAUGAGGGAGUUCAUUCCAUCUGAGAGUACACACAUUAUCACUUACCAGACUCCUGUUAUCUUCAGUGUUCAAGCAGGGAAUUUUAGAGAUUUAUGAUGGGAAGCUGAGAACAUUCUGCACUGAAAUACCAUCCAUGAUAGGUACGCAUACGUUGAUGACUCAGGAGUUCAGAGCUCGUGAAGCUCUAGAUUAUCAUGGGGCUAGGAACCCCAUUGCUAGCAGCAGAUGGUUAGCAGAUGCCGCCAACACUUUUCGUACCAACCGCUACCUCAGAGGGACAAGGUCCGAUUUACUUCCGGUUUCCUGAAGGACAGGGCACAUGAUUGAUGGGAAGAGGUUGGUAGUGACUUGUGUGAUGAUGCGGUCGAUGCUAUGUCAUGGGAUGACUUUUUGCCCAGAUUCCAGGCAGAAUUUGCCCAGGGUUAGUGCAUACCAGUUGGCGCGAGAAUUUCUAGAUCUCCGCCAGACUACUGAGACUGUGGCAGCGAUCACUGCCAAGUCUCGGGAGAGAGCUUCUUUGGUACCACAGUAUGCAGCAGAUGAGGAAAUGAAGAAAGAAAGGUAUUCAGACAAAAUGCAGAAUGAUAGCAGGGAGAUCGUGAGUAUUUCGAGGUGCGAAACCUUGAAUGAUAUGACUUCUAUAAGCUGAUAAUGAAAUAUUGAUUUGGAGCGCAUUAGGAAGAGGGAACCAGAUUACUUGCAUAUAUUGAAGGGUCUCGAGAAGAGACCCAAGAUUUCGGAUCAACUUAUAUGAUUGGGAUUAGCUUUUGAGAGGCCAGCAGGGCCAAAUUUAGUGCAACACUUGCGAGAAACUACACCAUGAAGUGUUUUUCGCUCCAAGGGCUUGGGUAAGGGUACACCUUGGUUGCUUCUAUGUUUGUGUUAGCGUUAUACCUUCAAGUGAUGUCAAAUGCCAAUUGCAUACCGAGAAUUAUUAGUGGGUAGCGAAAGGUUAUUUCCCUAAUUGCGAGAUUCAGAGUGUAGAACGUCAUCAAGGUUUAUGGUCGAGAUCAAAUCAUAAGAGUUCGGUGGAAGGUCUGUAGUAAGGGUUCCGCUGGAUGGUUAUCCAAUAUCAUCAGGAUUCGGUGGUCCUAGUAACUGUUACUAUUGGAUGAUGGAGGUUCUAUGGAAAGUGGCUCGUUGCUGAGGUAUUGACGGGAGCAUCUGUCUUUCAAUCUUUAAGAUUCGAGUGUGGUAUCAUUUCAAACAUUUGCAGUUACCAGUAUUGUUGGGAAUUCUCCAAAUUUCAUGUAUUGUGAAGACUUAGUCGAAUCUAAGUGAGGGAGAAUCGUUCAGGGAUUCGGAAACAUCAGCAGUUUUGGAACUAGGAUAAGUUUAGCAUCCUUGUCAGGAUGAAGAUAGUCCAAGCUGCUAUAUGGAUUGAGGAUAGUUUGAGUUGGAAGUUCAUAAACUUGACAAUAAUGACAUCGCGUUCUCGGAAUGUUUGAUAGCAGGCCUUAGGGGAUCAGGUUGAGGAUUCCACUAAGGAAACGAGUUCAUUUUUGGAUGUUAGGUCGUGUGUAUGAUCGAUGUUGGAUGUGUUCGGUUUAGUAAUCAGCGAUGGAGAUUUUGUGGAAAGUGUUGUAAGACUGUGGGAUAGCCGUAGCAUUUACCAACAACGAGAUAACGUGGAAAGUGUUGUAAGACUACGGGAGAGCCGUAGCAAUUACUACUAGCCGGAUAGUAUGGGAAGUGUUGUAAGUCUGUAGGUGUAGUCGUAGCAUUCACAAGUUUAGCAGAUAGUGCUAGAAGUGUUGUAAGUCUGCGUGACGUAGCCGUAGCAUUCAAAAGGUUGGCAGAUAGUGCUAAAAGUGUUGUAAGUCUGCGGGUGUAGCCGUAGCAUUCACAAGGUUGGCAGAUAGUGCUAGAGUGUUGUAAUUAUGCUGGUGUAGCCGUAACAUUCACUAGGUUAGUAGAUAGCAUGGGAGUGUUUUGGAACGUAGAGGGAACAAUAGUACCCAUCAGUUCGGGUGCAGCAGUGAGGGCGUGGAAAAUCCACAUAUUCGUGGAUCGAUUUCCCCAGAUGAAUUAGACUUAUUUGAGCUAGUAAGAAGACCGUAGGAACAUCGUUGCAGUCAUGGUAUCAAUGAAGUGAUGUAUUGUUUAAGGUCGUUUGUGAUAUAAGGCUACCUUAGGUCAUGUAGCAAUCAUUUUUAGCCUUGGAUUUGGUAAUGUCUGGACUCGACGCAUGGACCGGACCAGUUAUAUCAUAAGGUCAUUAGAGCCACGGUAGCAAGAUAACUAGUGGAAACUGGUUAGAAACAAGGAUUUCGUUUGGAAAUCAUGUAGGGUGACUAAGUGGGAGUCCUUUGGCUCGACAAUCGGGCAUCAACCCUGUAUUUUAGAUGACUAGUGAAGGAAUUGAGACCAGAGAGGUCUUCGUAGAUUUUGGAAAGCAGUCAUGUGGCAACAUGCUAUUUCGGGCAGUUUAAGUGUUUUGGCAGUAUCUGUAUUAGUGUUUUAGAAUUUCAGAUAUGGAUGGGUGACAGACUGUUUGCAUUAUGCUAAGUCACUCAUAGCGGGAUUAUUUGAGCCUUGGCCAAGUAUGAGGUAUCUGCAGGGAUAAUUGGGUCUGUGAUUAUGUUUUCUAGUAGGAACCUCAAGUUAUCAGAAGUUGAAUAGUCAGAUGAUAGAUAAGUGGACUGGGUUCAACAAUAAUGACUCAGUAUGGGCCGUUUGUCACGGAGUCAGACCAUCUUGAGACUACUCAUUUCAGAUUGAGUAAUGUGAUCCUAAUGCAAGGAAUUCGUUUAUCUUCGGGUUUUAGAACCAUGUGAGGGAUGGUUUUGAUUGCCUUGGGAAGACUGGGGUUAUGCUCAAGAUUGUGGCCGUGUCGUUCAAGUUGUCUGGCGUGUAAGGAAUGAUUUGAGGACGAAAUCUAAUUUAAGUGGGGGAAAGUUGUAACAUCCCAUUUAUUAAAUAAAUGAAUAGAUAAAUUAAUAAAUUGGUAGUAACCCUAAAAUCACUAAUAAUAUAGCAAGGUGUUGGUCUCGAUGAGUUAAUUGUCGCAAUUUUCAAAGUUGGGGCUAAAAGUGUAAGUGCCGGAGUGCUUUGUAAAUAUUUAUGAAGGCAGAGACUGCUUGGUAAAUUAUUGGGACUUAAUUUGAACUGAUUUUGGAGGCUAAGGGGCUAAAUGGUAACAUAUGGAAUUCAGUUGAAAAUAAUUUGCAUAGGAGAGGCUGUUUGGUAUGUUUUGGACUUAAAAUGGCAUGAACUUAUGGAAUCACGGGGUAAAGGGUAAAUGUUGGAUUAAAGUUGAAGAAGAUCUGGUGAGGAGGGCCGAUAUUGGUAAAAAUGGCCUAAGUUUGCAAGAAGACGGGAUAUACCCGGUUUCCCAUCCCAUUGUCUAAACCCUAACACUAAUUAUACACCAGUCGCCAUGUUUGAUGUUCAGCAGCCUCACCCCCCCUCGUUCGUUUUCCGAUCAGACAAGCCCUCUGUCGUCGCUCCUUCGCCAUCUAAACACCACAACGUCGCUGCCAGAGACGCCGUGAACAACCCGGAUAACCACUGAAGGCCGACAAAUUGACGUGUUUGUUGCAGCAAGGUUCGCAAGCUACCAAAAGGCUUCAGGAAAGACCAUAUGCUCCUUCUCUCUCUCCUCUCCUCCAUCCAUUUGUGCAUGUUAAACGUCAGAUGUGUCACUGCUGCCGACGGUGGCCUUUUGGCACUAUUUUUGUAACUUUCCGGCAACGUAAGCAGCAUGGAAGGUGGCUGGGUGGAUGUAUGUCUAGAAUAUAUUCUACUAUCAAUGUCGCUGUUGUUGUAUGAGCCAUUUUUGGUAGGAAAAUCAAUGAAGCUCCACCACCACCACCAUGAGGUUGUAGCUACCCCCGUGUUGCUGCCACUAACCACCAUCUCCGGUGGGUGUGUGCGUAUAUUAUGUGUGAAGUGAUAUAUGCAUUUUUUGGGCAGGAACCACCACCACCACCAUUGGAAAUGGUGGCUGCGNNNNNNNNNNNNNNNNNNNNNNNNNNNNNNNNNNNNNNNNNNNNNNNNNNNNNNNNNNNNNNNNNNNNNNNNNNNNNNNNNNNNNNNNCUGCUACUGCCUAGCCGUGAGUUGCCGCUGACCACCACCGCCCGAGGUGGUAGUGGGUGGUGCCCGACAUAGUGGAAUCCUAAUUGGCCCAAUACUUUAAUCUUGGACUUAGUUGGAUUGUCAUUGGGUUGGAAACGCUAAUUAGUGUUUAGAAAACCCUAAUUCUGGGAAUGUUAGUUUGGGAACUACUGGGACUCACGUUUGGACUGUUAUACUAGAAUUUUGAUUUAUAUCCAACUACAUUGUAUGAGUGGUCUAAUGGAAUGAUGGACUUAAUGGAUUAAGUGCUAAAUGGGUGAAGUCCUUAACGAGUUAAGUAAGAAUACUUAACCCUAGUCAUCAUUUCAUGUGAGGAACCCUAGUUUGGCUUGGGCUUUGAGUUGGGCCUUUCUAUUGGUCUUUUGUGAUUGGGCUACUGAUGGGCCAUCCAAAAACAAGCAUAUGGACUAUAAUAUUUGGAUUGAACAUUAGGAUAAGGCCCAUUGGAUAUGCUUGGGCCCAAUUGGGGAAAUUAGGCCAUAGAUGGACCAUAACUGGGCCUUGAUGAUUAUGAGAUAUUGGAUCAGUGGGCUGCCAAGUGUUUCGACCAUAAUAAAUGGUUGGGCCUUAAGGUAAGACCCUGUUGAGGUUUGGGCCCAAUUUGGAAAAUUCGGCCAUAUGUUGGGCAUUGGUUUAUUGUUUGACUUUUGGCCAUUGGAUUGGGACUUGGGCUUUAAUCAAGCUAAGUUGGGGGUAAAUUAAUCUUUUACCCCAAACAUGGGCUUAUGGUUAUGUGAUGGCACCUAAUUAUUAAUUGGGUGUUAUUUUUAUGUUGACAGUUCGAGAAUCGGUCAUUUAACAGCUAGGGUUUUGACCGCGGGACUUCAACAAUGUGAGGUGAGUUUCCUUCUGUAGGAAUGGGUCGAAGGCACCAAUACCAACCCAUAUUGUUUAUAUGUUCUUGAUAGGAACACGGAGUAUCUGUGUGGCCCGUAUCUCAUUAUUACCUUAUUAUAGAUGUCAGAAUGUUGGAUUGUUAUACUUGUUGUCUGUGUGAUACAUGUAUGUGUUGUUAAGAUUGUGAGUGUGGACAGGGCCCGUAUCUCAUAGAGUGUGGGCACGAACCAUAUCGCAUAGUAACUAGAGUUUUCUAAAUCACCCAUAAUAUCCAUGUUUAUGACAUAGCAGAAAAAAAUGCAUUUGGUUGCAUAUAAUAUUGGGUAUAAAUAAUUGUGUUAAAUAACACUGUACUAAAGUAAGAUGGUAAAAAAUGUUCAUUUUACCCCUAAAUGCCACUUGUUUUGUUUCGCUCUUGUUUAUUGAUUAAUAUUGAAAGUUAGCGGUGGAGUAUAUAGUUUCAGACGAGGAGUCUAGGGUUUCUAGGUGUUACUCAUGAAGCAAUACCAUGUAAGAGAUAUUUGACACAAUUAUCACAUUACCCAUAUUUAGUUUUGGUAUGUUCAAUAAAUCCAAGAGAUGUUUGACACAAUUAUCACAUUACCCAUAUUUAGUUUUGGUAUGUUCAAUAAAUCCAACGUAAGUUUUCAAAGUUAGACCAAUUAUACAAAUAUAUAUAUUGAUAAAUAUUCUAUAUUAUGUCAUUCUCGCAAUUAAUGCUCGAGCAUCAAUGGAUAUUUACCAACAAACUUGAUCCUCGAAAAUCAAUGUCCAUUGGAAGUUUGUGCAUGUGUUAUGUUUCUUACAUGCUUAUCAAAAUUCAUUCAACUGUCGUUGACAUGUUCUAAAACUCACAUUGCGUUGAAAUAAAAAAAGGAAUCCAAAUAUACUUUAAAUGCAAAGUACCAAUAAAUAUAGCAGUACAAUGUGCGAAUACCGAAACACCAGGUGUGAGUAAUCCAAUAAUCAUCCAAAUGAAAUUUCCGACAAACCUUUCAUGAAGCUGAAUUUUUUUGUUGAGCUUUCUUAGACUUAUAGAUUUCAACUCGAGUGAAUGUAAAACGAUAAAUAUAAGUACAAUUUUUCCUUAUGUACAUUAUUAACACCAGUUUCUUCAUGGAAUUUAAUUUUAAAAUAAAUAUAAUUGUCACUAUACAUGGUUAUUAUGAUUUCAUUUAACUCAAUCAUAAUUGUAACUUUUCUAGAAACCAUUAAUUAUGUAGCCAAACAUUAUAAUAAGUUUGUGCUAAUUACAUCCUUUCAUGUUGAAAGGCUAAACAAUGAAUAUGUUACACUCAACCUGGAAUAAUCACAGUGUCAAAUGAUAUAAGAUAUUCUCACUUAAGCAAGAGGGAAAAAUGUAUCAAGUGUUGUUAAAAAAAAUAUAUCAAUAAAGAUGGUGUUGCAAUUUACAAAUAAGAGCUGUUAAAAAAAUAGUUAUGUAUAGUAAGGAGUACUAUGGCCAUUAACAAAUAACUAAGAGCUGUUAAAAAAGACUACAAAUAAAAAAAUCGAGUACCACUUUAUUCAUCAAGCAACAAAUUGUAAUUUUGCGUAAUUGUUGGGUUGUAUGUGACGAUAUGUACAAUUUUAGGGGGAGGUUGAUGCAAAUCACCAUGGUUUUAGAUCAGGGUUAGGGUUGACGCCCACACUUUUCUUACUAUAUAUAUUAGAUGUUCAGUUUCAAUUUCAUACGAUUUCACAGCCGCUGUCAUAAUCCACCCUGUGAAUCUAUAUCUUGUAACUAUUCAACUACUGGCUUAGGAGGAUAUGCAUAUCUGAAAAUCAUCCAUUCUUUUGAUAAAGUUAUCGAUCUGCGUCAUUUUCGGUUAUCAUAAUCACCAUGACUUUUAUGUGUCGAUUACGAAAAAAAAUUUCUCUAUCAUGCUUCUAGAUCCAAAAACUGGCAACGAUCCACAAUAUUUUAAAACAAAAAACAUGUAAGUUAACUGAUACGUAAAUUUAUACCAUUCUGAAUCAUGAGUUUUGAAGCUGUUUUCUCCUUUUUUUGUUGUUUCGAAGUUUAUAAAUGCUGUUCGCCUGUCACUCACAUUAUUUCUUGAUCUGUGUCAGUCAAGUAGAGUCAGAUCGGUACCAGUUAGGUGUUCAUCGCAUUUCAAAAGUCGGUUUCGUGGGUUUGUCCAGAGGCCACUGUACAUUAGUCUUUCCAAGGUAAGUUUAUAAAACGUUUUCUUAUGUAAUUGUUUUGAUGCCAAUAAAUUUUUAAUUCUCAACUUUCCAAUUUAUGCUAUAUCAAGUAACGCUUAAGUAAGGUCUAAAUCUGACAUGUUGUUCCAUUCUUACUGAAUGAUGUUUGGAGACGAUGGCGAUGUUGACAGAAGUUGCAGAUCUGAUCACUAGAUCUUGACACGCUCAUUCCUUAAAUAUAUAUCAAUAAAUUUGGUCCCUGUAGUAUAGUGCUUGUUUUAGUUUUGGUACAAGGUUAAAAUGGUCAUUAAAAAAAAAAUCCAAUUAUGCUGCGUUUUCAUUUCUGAUUGUUAGAUUUAUCCUCCUUGCAGUGUGAAAGGGAAUAUCAUAUACGGUGUUUGAGGGAACACAAGAAGAUGUAUAUGAAGGUGUGUUAAUUUGAAUCUGAAUUUGCAAAAAUUUCCACAGUUUUUCACUCGAUUUAAUAUGAGAUUGUUGAUCUGAAGGUGUCUUCUCAUUUCGGAGGGAUCGGAAUCGGAAUCACAUAUUCCGAUGUGAAGUGGAUUGUUUUCCUUGGGAAAGAUGUUUCUGAUGAAUGGUGACAUUCUAAGGAACAUCUUUGUUAGAAAUUGAGGUGGUGGGUCUUCAAGGUGGAAUUACUUUUCAAGAUGGUUUUGGUUUUUGUCUUUGCAUGGAGAAGUAAAGUAAACAAUGAAUGAAUGAAUAAUGAAUACCCAUUUGUUGAUUUUUAUUUGAUGGUUUUAAAAUAUAGAUUUGAUGUACGUUUCAAGAUUUUUCCUUUGUUGAAUAUGUAAUUAUUGUUAUUUUUUGCAUGAAUUUAUAUUUUUUUUUAUAUCCAAAACUCGCUGCUAGCCUAUCACAUAAAAAUCUCUCUGUAAUCUAUUAGUGAGUUUUUCUUAAAUUUUGUCGAUAGUUCGUUAGGGAGCUAUUCUUUUGGUAAUUUUUACAAAAAAGUGUAUUCUUCAUUGAUCGGUUACUAAUAACCGACGUAAAAAUUCGUUGCUAAAAUUUGUCGUAGCCAUUGGAAAUCCGUUGCAUAUAUGAUAUGCCUUUUUGGGAAUCAGAUGUAUAAUCAAUACUGUACACCUCUAUAACCUUCUUUCCACGUCUAAUACAAGCAUGAUAAAACCAAGCAUAGACCUUUCUAAUUCUAUAGAUUGUUCCAAGUAAAAUAAACUUAGUCUUCUAUAACCAUACCUAAAGUAGAUUAAAAAAACUUUUUAUUUAAAAAAAUUAAUAAUAAAUAACUUUAAAGGUGAUAAUAAACCUGCAAUGGCUCGAUGAUAUCACAAUCAUUUUUUAUUUCAUAAUCACCUUUAAACCCAUCAUUAUAAGAAAAAGUAUGAAGCAAAAUUAGCUUUAUACUACUUGCACACUUUUUAUCUCAAUGAAAAUAUGAAUGGGAACAACAUCAAGAGUUAUGCAACAAACUAAAAGAUUGUAAUAAUCAAACUAUAAUUUCUUGUAUUCGUUAAUCUAAAAAAAGGUACGGUUCAUUAAACAAAUUAGAUGCGUCUAGAUAAAAUGAAACUCCACCAACAUGACACAAUGCCGCUGCCGCCGAUCCUUCGCCAUCUAAAUGCCACAAUUUCGCUGCCGGAGACGCCGUGAACAACCCGAAAAACCGUUGAAGAUCGACAAAAGGACGUGUUCGCUACAGCAAGGGCGCGAGCUACCGAGAGGCUUCAGGUAAGACCAUCUGUCACUUCUCUCUCUCCUCCCCUCCGUCCCUUUGUGCGUGUUCGAAGUCAGAUGCGUCACCGCUGCCUCCGGUGGCCUUUGGCCACUAUUUUCGUAACUUUCCGGCAACAUCAGCCGCAUGGAAGGUGGCUGGGUUGAUGUAUGUCUAGAAUAUACGUUGUUGUUGGUGUUAUUGUUGCUGUAUAAGCCAUUUUUGGCUGGAAAAUCAAUGAAGGUCCGUCACUACCAUCAUGAGGUGGUGGCUGCUGUAGCCGAUCCUUCGCCAUCUAAAUGCCACAAUUUCGCUGCCGGAGACUCUGUGAACAACCCGAAAAACCGUUGAAGGUCGACAAAAGGAUGUGUUCACAGCAGCAAGGGCGCGAGCUACCGAGAGGCUUCAGGUAAGACCAUCUGCCACUUCUCUCUCUCCUCCCCUCCGUCCCUUUGUACGUGUUCGACGUCAGAUGCGUCUCCGCUGCCUCCGGUGGCCUUUGGUCACUAUUUUCGUAACUUUCCGGCAACAUCAGCCGCAUGGAAGGUGGCUGGGUUGAUGUAUGUCUAGAAUAUAUGUUGUUGUUGGUGUUAUUGUUGCUGUAUAAGCCAUUUUUGGCUGGAAAAUCAAUGAAGGUCCGUCACCACCAUCAUGAGGUGGUGGCUGCUGUAACGCCCGUGUUUCUAGGCUAGGCAUUAAUAUUGACAUAAUGGUCUAGGUUAACCUUUGUAACUCAUUUAGAAGAAAUGAAAAGGAAUUAUGUGAAUUUUAUGUGAAUUANGGCCCCCCGCCGUGAGCCACCGCCGACCACCACCGCCGAGGUGGCAGUGGGUGGUGUCCGGCCUAAUGGAACCCUAAUUGGCCCAGUAGCUUAAUCUUGGACUCAGUAGGAUUGUGAUUGGAUUGGAAACCCUAAUUAGGGUGUAACACCGUGAAUUUUCAAAAUAAUUUUUCACAAAUAUAUAAAAACAUUUCCCAUUUAAUUUUCAUAAAAUAUUAAGUUUAAAAUCUAAAUUCACAUCAUACAAAAUCCCAAGAUCAUAUAUAUAUAUAUAUAUAUAUAUAUAUAUCAAAAUUCCCAUGCGUGUGUACAGAUCAAGCCGACGCCUUCCCACGGUCGUCACUAGUACCUGAAACAAACAACACCAACACUGCAAGCACGAAGCUUAGUGAGUUCCCCAAAAUACCACACAUAACACAUAUUAGCCACUCGAGGCUAUAACUCUGUGGGUCCGUAGACCCUACUCUGUGAACCCACUGGUUCUAACUCUGGGAACUUUCUGGUUCCAACUCUAUAAGCAUGCACAACAUAAAUCACAUAGACAUCAUGCGGUACAACACAUAACAUACAUAUAACAUACACAUACUCUGUCACAUAACUCUGAUUACCUACUCAAGGUAAAGUAUAGUGAGAAGACUCACCUCGUAUAUCUCGAUAACUCGCGAACCCUGGAAAUCACUCGUGCUCGAUCCUCCGAGCUAUAAUCCUCCUAUAACAUCAUAUAUCUCUAAUUAACACUUUUACCACUAAGGUUGACUACCCCUAUCAAGUCAACACUAUCAACUCUGGUCAACAGUCAACGGUCAACUUUGACCGGACUCGGCGAGUGAACUAGGGCGACUCGGCGAGUCUAUACGUGUUCACUGACUCCCUAGGAUCCUCUCUUGACACGUCGAGUACUCCCCAGACUCGACGAGUUCCACCUGGCAUGAAUCGCGGGGCCACCACGACUCAACUCGCUGAGUCUCAAGAACAACUCGGCGAGUUCCAGCUCGACUCAGUCCACCUGUCAACCCUCUCUAACUCUCCAUGACUCUUUGAGUCAACCCAUAACUCGGCAGGACCACUCGCUGAGUGGUUAAGGACAAUCNCCCUUAACUCGGCAAGACCACUCGCUGAGUGGUUAAGGACAAUCUUCAUGCUACUCGCCGAGUCUGUUCUUCAGACUCGGCGAGUCCAUGCCAUGCAUCAACUCAAGCUUGCUUCUGAGGUCAGAUCCGUUCCAACAACUCAUAGAUCUGGCCCUCCUAAGCUUAUUCAUCAUGUAAAGUCCAUAUCUUGGUGCUCAUAACACACCCCAUGACUCAUAACUGGUGUUUUGACCUCAAGCACAAAGACCCCAAUCCAAAACCCCCAUGGAUUCAUAACAAGCUUGGGCAAAGGGACACUCUGGACCUCCAAGGGUCCAGGUCUAGAACCUAACUCGCUUAAGGGACCAAGGAAGCACUAGAUCUAGCCACAAAAGGGCUCAACAAGCCCUAAAUCAAUAUAAACAUCAACAUAACAGAGAAUAGCUCGAAGGUAGUACGUCAAAUGUGAUGUUCUUGACCUCAAAUCUUCAGGAAGUGGCUCCUCAUGGUUCCCUUUAGCUAUUGCUUCCUUUCCCUUGCAAGAUGACACCUCCAAGGUCAAUAAUGGCUUCUUGCUUUUGCUCCAAACGCUCAAAAUCGCUAGGGUUUCACUCAGGGGACUUGUGAGCACAGAUGACGGCCUUAAGGCCCUUUAAAUAGGUCCCAAACCCGAGAAAUUAGGGUUUCAUUAAACAGCACGGACUCGCCGAGUCCAUACCUUGGACUCGCCGAGUCCAGGCGUGAACCUGCGUCUAGAACCGCGAUCCUACUCGGCGAGUCUGAGCUCCAACUCGCCGAGUCCCCUCACAAAACACCAAAAACUUAAGCAUAAAAGAUACCUGGAAAUCCGGGCUCUUACAUAGGGUUUACAAAACCCUAACUCUGGGAAUGUUAGUUUGGGAAUUACCGGGACUCGCGUUUAGACUAUUAUAUUGGAAUUUUGAUUUAUGUCCAACUACAUUGUCUGAAUGGCCUAAUGGAGUGAUUGAUUUUGUUGGAUUAAGUGUUUAAUGGGUUAAGUCGUUAUUGGGUUAAGUAAGAUUACUUCACCCUAAUUGUCAUUUCAUGUGAGAAAACCUAAUUUUGCUUGGGCCUUGAGUUUAGCCUUUCUAUUGGGCUUUGGUGAUUGGGCUACUGAUGGACCAUCAAAAAACAAGCAUAUGGACUAUAAUAUUUGGAUUGAGCUUUAGGAUAAGGCCUAUUGGAUUAUACUUGGGCCCAAUUAGGAAAUUAGACCAUAGAUGGACCAUAACAGGGCCUUGAUGAUUAUGAGAUAUUGGAUCAGUAGGCUGCCAAGUGUUUCAACCAUAAUAAAUGGUUGGGCCUUCAGGUAACACCCUGUUGAGGUUUGGGCCCAAUUUUGAAAAUUGGGCCAUAUGUUGGGCAUCAGUUCAUUGUUUGACUUUUGGCCUUUAGAUUGGGCCUUCGACGGGUCUUCAACGGUGUGAGGUGAGUUUCCUUCAGUAGGAAUGGGUCGAAGGCACCAAUGGCAGCCCAUAUAGUUUAUAUGUUCUUGAUAGGAACAUGAGGUUUGGGUGGGGGCGUAUCUUACUAUUACUUGAGUAUAGAUAUUAGUCAGAUUGUUGGAUUGUUAUACUUGUAUUCUAUGUGAUACCGGUAUGUGUUGUUAGGAAUGUGAGUUUGGGCGGGUCUCGUAUCUUAUAGUAGCAAAGUGUGGAUAGGGCCCGUAUCUCAUUGAGUGUGGGCGGAGCCCGUAUCUCCUAGUAGCAUGAUUAGUUGUAUGGUAUGUGGUAGUUUGAGGAGACUCACUAAGCUUCAUGCGGAAAGUUUUUAGUUUUGGUUUAGGUACUUCUGUUAGCAAGGAGAACAGAUCGGGAUGAUUAAGUGCACACAUCAUUUGUUUAGCCUGGGAUAUUAAUACUGUGAUAUAUUUUGACAAAUGUUAUGAUAUUUUGAGGUACAAGAUUUACUGUUUUUAUAUGAUGUUUGGACUACUAUGGUUUUAUUAAUGAUUUAAAAUGAAAAUUUUCGACUGUAUAUUUAGGAUGGUUCAAGUUGGUAUCACAACCUUGGUUUGAGGGAUUCGGGCACACUCUCGUGUGUGUCUGAACUCAAACUGAGGACUUAGUAUGCAAAUUUUCAAAAGAAAAUCAUUUUUACAAAAGAACUUUGAAAGUGAAAAGGGUUUUAGAAAAGAGAAAACGGGUGUGGUGCAUGCAAUCAACCAAUCUCAAGUAUGUACUCCCAAAUUACCCGUACGAGUGUAUGUUAUGAUAUGAUUAUGAGAACUUCAUGCUAGAUUGGGGCUAAGGAUCUAGGAAUGAUACAUUGUAUGCCAGUUAUAUGUGUAUGAGAACUGCAGGCUAAUUAUGGCUAAGGAUCUAGGAAGGAUGCCUUAUGUGCCUACUAUAUGAGCUUGUUGAGUUGUAUGCUAGUAUUGAUUAGUCAGUCAUAUGAUGGCCUGAUUAGAGUAUGAUUGAUUGUAUUUACUUAAUUCUCGAAUAGUUCUUGCUUCUUUCUAUUAAGAGUUCUAGUUACCUCUAACUAACUAGUAAAUGAAUAUGGUAAGUUACAUAUUGUGAGGACUAAAUAAUUUCAGAAGGUUAGGUUUAGCUCUAUUUCGCAGCUCUUGUUUGAGUCCAACCGUUGUAGCAGAGAGUGGAUUGGUAAUUACCCUAGGGAAAGCCUAGGCUGAGAGUAGCAGAGAACAAUAGUAGCAGUAGAAGGGACUUGAUGGAGUCAAGGCAAUUCUUGAGGUAAGCACAUAUAGAUGUGGAAGGCAGUAUGGGACCGUACUAUUCAAAGAAGAGGAUCUGUACUCAAACCAAGGAAGGCUGAGAUGAACCCAGGGAACUUGUAGUUUGUGAGAUCCCUCGAGUUAUGAUGAGUAUUCUAAUGAUUAUUCUGGUAUAUUUCCGAGUAUGGAGACGCUAUGUGGUAGACCAGAUGUCAGAUUUGGUGUUGGCAAGGGAUCAGGCUCCGACUCUAGAGCCGGGCAGCUUGAUGGUUAGAUGAGGGAGUUCAUUCCAUCUAAGAGUACGCACAGUAUCACUUAACAGACUCCCGUUGUCUUCAGUGUUCAAGGAGGGAAUUUUAGAGAUUUGUGAUAGGAAGCUGAGAACAUUCUACACUGAAAUACCAACCAUGAUAGGUACGCAUACGUUGAUGAAUCAGGAGUUCAGAGCUCAUGAAGCUCCAGAUUAUCAUGGGGCUAGGAACCCCAUUGCUAACAGAAGAUGGUUGGCAGAUGCCGUGAAAACUUUUCGUACCAACCGUUUCCUGAGAGGAACAAGGUCGAAUUUACUUCCUGUUUCCUGAAGGACAAGGCACUUGAUUGAUGGGAAGCGGUUGGUAGUGAGUUGUGUGAUGAUGCGGUCUAUGCUAUGUCAUGGGAUGACUUUUUGACCAGAUUCCAGACAAAAUUUGCACAGGGAUUAAUGCACACCAGUUGGCGCAAGAGUUACUAGAUCUCCACCAGACUACUGAGAUUGUGGCAGCGAUCACUGCCAAGUCUCGGGAGAGAGCUUCUUUGGUACCGCAAUAUGCAGCGGAUGAGGAAAUGAAGAAGGUAAGGUAUCCGAACAUAAUGCAGAAUGAGAGCAGGUAGAACGUGAGUAUUUCGAGGUGCGAAACCCUAAAAGAUAUGACUUCUAGAACCGGAUAAUGAGAUAUUGAUUUUGAGCACAUUGGGAAGAGGGAACCAGAUUAGUUGCAUAUAUUGAAGGGUCUCGGGAAGAGACCCAAGAUUUCGGAUCAACUUAUAUGAUUUGGAUCAGCUUUUGAGAGCCCAGCAGGGCCACAUUUAGUGCAGCACUUGCGAGUAACUACACGAUGAAGUGUUUUUCACUCCAAGGGAUUGGGUAAGGGUACACUUAGCUUGCUUCCAAGUUUGUGUUAGCGUUAUACCUUCAAGUGAUGCCAAAUGCCAAUUGCAUACCGAGAAUUAUUAGUGGGUAGCAAAAGGUUAUUUCCUUAAUUGUGGGAUUCAGAGUGGACAACGUCAUCAUGGUUUAUGGUCGAGAUCAAAUCAUAAGUGUUCUGUGGAAGGUCUGCAGUAAGGGUUCCGCUGGAUGGUUAUCCAAUAUCAUCAGGAUUUGGUGGUCCUAGUAACUGUUACUGAUUGGCUGAUGGAGGUACUAAGGAAAGUGGUUCGUUGCUGAGAUAUUGGCAGGAGCAUUUGUCUUUCAGUCUUCAAGAUUCGAGUGUGGUAUCAUUUCAAACUUUUUCAGUUACUAGUAUUGUUAGGAAUUCUCCAAAUUUCAUGUAUUGUGAAGACUUAGUCGAAUCUAAGUAGGGGAGAAUCGUUCAGGGAUUCGGAAACAUGAGCAGUUUUGGAACUGGGAUAAGUUUGGCAUCCUUGUCAGAAUGAAGAUAGUCCAAGCUGCUAUAUGGAUUGAGGAUAGUUUGAGUUGGAAGUUCAAAAAACUUGACAAUAAUGAGAUCGCGUUCUCGGAAUGUUUGAUAGCAGGCCUUAGGGGAUCAGGUUGAGGAUUCCACUCAGGACAUUGAUGUCACUUUUGCAUGUUAGGUCGUGUGUAUGCUCGAGGUUGGAUGUGUUUGGAUUAGUAAUCAGCGAUGGAGACAGUGUGGAAAGUGUUGUAAGACUGUGGGAUACCCGUAGCAUUCACCAGCAACGAGACAACAUGGAAAGUGUUGUAAGACUACGGGAUAGCCGUAGAAAUCACUAGUAGCCGGAUAGUAUGGGAAGUGUUGUCAGUCUGCGGGUGUAGUCCUACCAUUCACAAGGUUAGCAGAUAGUGCUAGAAGUGUUGUAAGUCUGCGUGACGUAGCCGCAACAUUCAUAAGGUUGGCAGAUAGUGCUAAGAGUGUUGUAAGUCUACGGGUGUAGUCGUAGCAUUCACAAGGUUGGCAGAUAGUGCUAGAGUGUUGUAAUUACGUUGGUGUAGCCGUAACAUUAACUAGGUUAGUAGAUAACAUGGUCUUUGGUGAAUGGGCUACUGAUGGGCCAUCCAAAAACAAGCAUAUGGACUAUAAUAUUUGGAUUGAGCUUUAGGAUAAGGCCCAUUGGAUAUGCUUGGUGCCAAUUGGGGAAACUAGGCCAUAGAUGGACCAUAACAGGGCCUUGAUGAUUAUGAGAUAUUGGAUCAGUAGGCUUCCAAGUGUUCGACCAUAAUAAUUGGUUGGGCCUUCAGGUAACACCCUGUUCAGGUUUGGGCCCAAUUUUGAAAAUUGGGCCAUACGAUGGGCAUCAGUUCAUUGUUUGACUUUUGGCCUUUAGAUUGGGCCUUGAGCUUUAAUCAAGCUAAGUUGGGGGUAAAGUAGUCUUUUACCCCAAACAUGGAUUUAUGGUUACGUUAUGGCACCCGAUUAUUAAUUGGGUGUUAUUUUUAUGUUGACAGUUCGAGAGUCUGUCAUUCAGCAGCUAGAGUUUUGAUCGCAGGGCUUCAACAGUGUGAGGUGAGUUUCCUUUAGUAGGAACAGUUCGAAGGCACCAAUGCUAGCCCGUAUAGUUUAUAUGUUCUUGAUAGGAACACGGAGUAUGGGCGUGGCCCGUAUCUCAUUAUUACCAGUGUAUAGAUGUCAGUCAAAUUGUUGGACUGUUAUACUUGUUAUUUGUGUGAUACCUGUAUGUGUUGUUAGGAAUGUAAGUGUGGGCGGGGCUCGAAUCUCAUAGAGUUUGGGCAUGGCCCGUAUCGCAUAGUAAUUAGAGUUCUCUAAAUCGCCCAUAAUUUCCAUGUUUUUGACAUAUCAGAAAAAAUGAAUUUUGUUUCAUAUAAUAUGGGGUAUAAAUAAUUGUGUUAAACAACAUUGUACUAAACUAAGAUGGUAAAAAAUGGUCAUUUUACCCCUAAAUGCCACUUGUUUUGUUUCGCUCUUGUUUAUUGAUUAAUACUGAAAGUUAGCGGUGGAUUAUAUAGUUUCAGACGAGGAGUCUAGGGUUUCUUGGUGUUACUCAUGAAGCAAUACCAUGUAAGAGAUGUUUGAUACAAUUAUCAUAUUACCUAUGGUUAGUUUUGGUAAGUUCAUUAAAUCCAACAUUAGUUUUCAAAGUUAGACCAAUUAUACAAAUAUAUAUUGAUAAAUCCAAAUAUAUUUUAAACGCGAAGUCGCAAUAAAUAUAGCACCACUAGAAAUAAAAUGACAUUUUGUGGCACAGAAAAUGUGCCACUAAAAACCAAAAAUGUUCCACUAAAAGCCUAGUUGAUAUUCAGCGGCACAAAAAAUAAGUAUCACUAGAAGCGUUGCCACUAAAAACCUUUAGUGACAUUUUUUGAUUGUGUCGCUGCAACACUUGUGGGUUUUAGUGACACUUUUUUAUUCCACUAUAGCCCUUUUUUGUAGCAUUUUUAUGCCACCAUAUAAUUGCAAAAAUAAAAUCAAUUUUUAUAUUUUUUAACAACAAUUAUUUUUACCAAAAAAUAACAAUAUUUACAAAUUAAAUCCAACUUUUUUUAUAUAUUUAAGUGAGAUAUAAAAUAUUAAAAAACAAUUCAUAUAAUAAAAAUAUAAAACACAUAAACAGUACAUAAACUAAAAUUUAACAUGUGUUACAACAAUAUUAUCAAUAGUUAAAACAAAAUACCUUCCAAAAAGCUUAAUAAGUCUACACAUCGUGUUAGUAAUUAAUCAAAACAGAAAACAACAAUAUUCUCAUUAUUUUGAAUAAUCAUCUUCGCCCCCUUGUGUUUGUGGAGUUACAUGGAACAACUUGUAGGAAAGACUACAAAAUAAAACAAUUUAUAAUAGAAGUUAUUAUUAGCAUACCUACAAAAUUAACACAUUGUUAUAGAGAAACAAAUCAAUUUAUGUAAAACAAUUUCAUUGUUAAAAAAGAAGCAUCACAACUAUAGGUAAAAGUGGAAAUAACAACAAAAUUAAAUUCAAUGCUAAUAAAAGCGGGGACCUUGAAGGAGAGAAGUCAACUUUAAUAUGAUGUCAUUUUCUUGAUUUUGUGAAUAUUGGUAUUCUUAGUGUUGAGGCUGUCCACACUUGUAUUUUUCCUUUCUUGGUAAAUCUGAAUGAAAUAUAACGUUAAAAAAAUGAAUAAUAUGUAUUUGGUUUAUUAAUAAAAUAGAAAAAAAUUAAAGCAAACCUUCACGGCUUCAAAAAGUCUCCUCUUUUACGUUGCAUAACAACCUUUGACAUCAUGUCAUCAUCAUAAGUAAGUUGUUGCAAAUUCGCAUCACCUGUGUCUUUAUCAACACUCUUUUUUCGUGUACUGUGUAGGGGUAAUAGGUGUGAGUUAUAUGAAAAAGUGAGUGAGAGUAUUAUAAAUAAUCAAAACUACAAAAUCAAAAUUACAAAUCAAUAGAUGCAGGUUCUAACCAUCUUGAAAAUAUCAAAAUAUUUGAAAAGAUAAAAACAAAUGUAAAUAUGCUAGUAAGUCAUCACUCAUGUAUGAGAUAAAUAUUCAAACAAUCAUAGGACGUGCCAAAUGCUUGAAAUAAACUUACCCUUUUCAUAUUAACCUUUAUUUCUUAAUAAUCCAGUAUAAUUCUAAUAAGAUUUAAAAUGUGAGUUGAGCCAGAUUCAUGAUACCUUGCACGGGUCUUAGUUGAGGAAGUGUAUAGCCGACGAGUCGACGGUGGUGCCAUUGGGAGAUAUUCAGGUGAUUGCAUGCCUGAAUUAUGUUGAGAGGCCGGUGGCGAUUGUGGAUCGAAAGAUCAAGGUUCUGAGGAACAAGGAGGUGCCCCUAGUUCAAGUCCAGUGGCAGCAUCAGAGAGGAUACGAGCUGACUUGGAAGCCGAAGUUGGAGAUGCGGGAGCAGCGUCCAGAAUUGUUUGUGGAGCAAGACUUUGAGGGUGAAGUCUGAUUCUAGUGGGGGAGAAUUGUAAAAUCCGGAUUUCCAGGUAUUAUGUUUGAUCAUGUAUUUGUGUAAAAGAGAGGGACUCGACGAGUUGACGGUUACACUCGUCGAGUAGGAUCGCAUUUGCUGACUGGAUUAAUGAGCGGAACCGAUGAGUUGGAAAGGGGGGACUCGACGAGUCCACGCUGUAGGCUGAAAACCUAAAUCUCCAGGACUGAGCCCUAUUUAAAGGACCUUAUACCCUCUUGUGCGGCUACCUGUCCAGAGAGAGUGCCCCUUGAGAGCUUGAGCAAGUUGAGAGAGUGAUAAGGCCAUAUUGAUCGGUUUUGGUGUGAUUUAGCAAAGGAGAAGUUGUUUCCAGCAAGAGGAGGUCAAGGGAGUUGUGGAUCCGGAGUUUUCAAGUUCACAUCUACACUGUUGAGGUAUCAAAUCGAACUUUCUGUCUAUUUUGGGUUUAGAUCUAUGAUCUAGGGUUUUCUAUAACCUUUUAGGGCUUGAAAAGUUGAGUUUAUGGUCCCUUGUUGUGUUAGAACUCGGAUAUGGACCCAUAGAGGUCUAGAGAGCCUUCCCAAUUGUGCUUUAUGUUGGUUUAUGGAGGAAAAGAGACUAGGUUGCCAUUUUAGAAGCGAUUUCACCAAGGAAAGCCUUGGCUUCAUUGCAUGUGAGUCGAGUUCCGACCUUUACAUGGUUAUUGGUCAUGGGGAACUCAGAUCUAUAGUAUAGAGAAGCAGAUCUGACCUCAGAAGGUCAUUUGAGAGUCGUUAUUGGGGCAACUCACUGAGUCCAUAAGUGGAUUCGACGAGUCGAGACGGGGUUGCCCCGUGAUUCGUUGCAGAGUAACCAGGCGAGUGGAGAAGGGUCUCGAUGUGCCAAGUGAGGCUUAGAAGGAUUCAAGGGACCCGCGUGGACUCGUCGAGUCGCUCGAGUGCACUCGACGAGUCUAGUCAAAGUUGACCGUUGACUAGAAUUGACUUUGUUGACUAUUGGGGUUUAGUCAAUGUUUGAACUUUUGAGCGAUUGGAGGGGUAGAAUGGGCUUUUAGCCUCCUUAGAGAGCUUAGAGAGGGAUUAGCCUAGUCUUUGAAAGUUGUAUUGAUUAGAGUAAUUAUUUUAUGUUAUUAGGCGGAGGCUAGAUCAGUAUUUCCGAGUACGAGGGUUUUCAAGUUAUCCGAGGUGAGUCUUCUCACUAUACUUUACCUAGAGUGGUAAUUAGAGUUAUGUGACAAAGUAUGUUGUAUGAUAUUAAAUGAUGUGAUAUCUAUGUGAUUAUGUGCUAUAUGUGGUUCAGAGUUUACAGAUUCAGGUCCAAAAGGUCCACAAAGUUAGGACCAGAGGGUCCACAGAGUUAUGGCACUGGAGGGUCCCACUGAGGCACGUAUUGUCUCUUCCAACCCAUUAAAGUCCAACCUCUUUCUUAACAGAUCAUUAGCAUCUAGGAAACAAUGAUGACCGAUAUAUACGACUCUAUUUGUUCUACGGUACGAAGGAGUGUCUUCAUUGCAUGUAGCACAUACUUUAUACGCUUGCCAAACCCAGAAAAUUAUGGUUUCCUAAUUUGGCAAGUACGCUCACUAUGCAAUGAGUACGCCAUGCGUACUAGGGUGCGCCCUAGUAUAAUCAGCGUACACCACAUACGCAUGGCGUACUGCAAAUCCCCAAAAAUUACAAUAAUACUAUUAGGGUUCCAUCGCAUACUUUCUUGAACUAAGGGACCAAAAUGCAACCUAAAUAAAUUAAAGGACUAAAAUUAGAUGCCCCUUCGGGAUGUUACACACAUGGUUUUUCUUUAUCAUGAGAUAAAGAACUUGUUUCAUUUAUCUUUUUGAAAAACCUUAACAUUAUAAUUGGAUUAAAAAACUAAUCGUCACAAAGUCAUACAAUUUCAGAAAUUCUAAAUCUAAUUAUAAUAUAAACAAUUAAUGUAAGUUUACUACACAUCUAUUAGUUUUAGAGGAUCACUGUUGAUAUCAUAAAAGUCAAAAUCAAACUAUUAAUUAAACAUAUAAUACAACUAUACUCCAUUUAAUGAUUGUCGAAUAAAUCAAAUUUAAAGCCAUAAAUGAUGAACCAUUGUAAAGUAAUUUGGUAAAAUGAUAAACUUCAUUUAUUACAUGUAAUUUGAUAAAAGGUAAUGGUAAAUAUGAUUUAUGCUAUUUCGGAAUAUGUUGUUGUCUAUGGCAUGCUAUUAACAAUACUNNNNNNNNNNNNNNNNNNNNNNNNNNNNNNNNNNNNNNNNNNNNNNNNNNNNNNNNNNNNNNNNNNNNNNNNNNNNNNNNNNNNNNNNNNNNNNNNNNNNNNNNNNNNNNNNNNNNNNNNNNNNNNNNNNNNNNNNNNNNNNNNNNNNUAUAUAUAUAUAUAGAGAGAGAGAGAGAGAGAGAGAGAGAGAGAGAGAGUGUGUGUGUGUGCAAGUCCAUUAAACAACUUCCACUAUGUACGACCUUCUUCAGAUGUCGAGUUUAAAAGUUUAUAAAUUAAAAAAGAAAGUGGGUUGAACAUAGACUCAUAAAAAAUGGAGAGUUUGAGACAGUAUGUGGUGAUAGGAAGAUGAAGUUCAAGAUUUUCAUUCAUCGGAGAGUGGUAGAUGAUUGUCUCGCUGCACACCAAACAACGUUGAUGGGCUUAAGUGCGGUUACGGACGGCGACAACGAGUGAAGAUUAUGUAACUUUUGUUUUUUUAGGGUUUAUGUAUUUUUUGUCUUUUGAUCUUUU
RNAcentral lists this long non-coding RNA (60907 nucleotides) under Lactuca sativa (garden lettuce). RNAcentral describes it as "long non-coding RNA (LSAT_LNC000637)". The record is from RNAcentral. Lineage: Eukaryota; Viridiplantae; Streptophyta; Magnoliopsida; Asterales; Asteraceae.